RNAcentral lists this long non-coding RNA (55714 nucleotides) under Sorghum bicolor (sorghum). Its description in RNAcentral is "long non-coding RNA (SBIC_LNC013664)". Lineage: Eukaryota; Viridiplantae; Streptophyta; Magnoliopsida; Poales; Poaceae. The record is from RNAcentral.
ACGGAAUCUAGACACCAUAGAGGAUGUUCGACCCGCACCUAUAAACCCUAUCGAUCCUGCUAACGGGAUUAUGGGCUACAAAGGUAACUCGGAAAUGUCACGUUCCUCGCUACUACCAUGGUCUAGCUAGACAGGGGAUAUCUAUGAGUAUCCUAGCCCAAACACCACGUUUACGCUAGAGAUGAUUACUCUAAACUCUACGUGAAGAGAUCAAAGUAAACUCAUAAGCCAAAGAACAACAAAACAGAGAACUUACUAGAAUUUAGAAGUCGAAAUACUGAAGAAUCCUAGGAGCAAGCCUCGGGUUAGGAGACUUGAUCCCGCAGGUACAACCUCGGAGUAGACACCGACAGGCCGGGCUUCCUCUGAUCUACACCUCCACUCUAUCUCUCUCAAUCUAGUAGAACUAAUUCUACUCUCACAUUGGAUGCUAAGCCCUAUGAGGUGGGAACCCUAAGGAACCUCUCUCUCUGAAUCCUCUCUGGAAAAUAUGCUAAUGAAUAAUGGGAUUCUAUCUCUCCAGGGGCCAGGGGCCUAGCUUAUAUAGCCUUUUCAAAUGAAUCUGGGCCGUCGGAUCAAACCGACCUUGAUUGAACAGUUCUCCUUGAUCCUCAAUGGCGGUGGACCAUAAUCCGCGUGAUUCAGUGGGAUUGGCCACCAGAGGUGGGCGGGCGCCCAAGGGGGAGGGCGCCCGAUCGGCCUCCCGUUCGUUCCUGUAGGUUCUUGAGUCUUCUAGAUGUUGAAUAAUUGCGGUGCACGUUAAUAUCUCUAUGUAAACCUGACGUGUGGACCUUUCUUCCAUAUUUCCUGAUAACCCCCUGCAGAAAUAGAUAAAUAGCAAAACUCGUGGAAUUCUGUCAGAUCAAACCCUGAUUCUAGGUGUUGUUUGUAUAUUAGUCCUUUUUGGUGUUUAUUUCAUAAUUAAAAUUGAUACUUAAAAACCGUCAACAAACACCCCCAUACUUAGGCUUUUGCUCGUCCUCAAGAAAAGGAUGGUUAAGAAAAAUAUCUGGGGUUAAAACAUUGUAAAACAUUCUCUUCAUACCUACAGGGUGUUGUAAAAAUCCACUGUGUACCGUAGUCAGGGAAAUAUAUGGUCUAGAGUAGAGGUCCUUUCUUCUCAAUCUUGUCACUUGGAGUUUUUGUAUGUUUUUGAAAAUAAAUUAGCAUACCUUUAUCCUCAUAGGUUCUCUCAGAUCACUCAUUUAUCUUUUAUAUAUCUCUCUCAGGCUGUUUUAAUUUGCAGAAAUUCUCAAGCAUUCUUACCUUGCAUUUAUUGCCUGAUCAAAACGGGAUCCGAGGGGAGGAAUGUCAUACUCUUAGAUUAAAGACUUUGGAAAUUAAAAACUUGUCAACUCUUACUGGCAUAUUGCUUAUUAGAGGGACCAUGGGCUAUCAUUUUCCCUCUUUUUUUUCUUUUUUUUCAGGUGGACACCGAGGUACCCCUAAUUCUACUGGAGGACAUUUGUCCAUUUUUUUUCUGCGAGGUUGUCGAGCACUUGCUCUUUUUUAUUUCCUCGAAAUACUCAUAUUUUUGCAUAGCCCAUGCCUCUAACGCAAUAAUACUUCGGAAGAGUGAAUCUUUCUGAAUAAAUGUCCUGAUCUUAGAGGCAUGAUAAAUCUCUCAACAAGGGUCUAACUCGUUUUGAACAAACUCAAUACAGAGCAGAUAGCUUUUCUAAUUAUUUAAUUUUCAGGUUUAGCAGGCAUAUAAAACACUAAGAGCAACUCCAACAGAUAUGCUAUCCAUGUUGUCUAGGCUAUUUUUACAUUUUUAAAGCAAAAGUUAAACUCCAACAGAUGUGCCAUCUGGUUUGCUAAAAUAGCAAGUUUGCUAUUCCUAAACUUUCGCUUGUCAUAUAUAGCAUGUCGUCCUCACUAGCUAUCCUAUACAAAGGUUGUUGUGGAACUCUAUUCUUUGAGUGAGUUUUUUAUUUUACACAAUGGCUAAAUCUUGUAAUUUAGAAUAUAAUUUUAGCUAGUCUCUUGGAGAUGCUCUAAGGAUGGUAGCUAUAAUUUUUGAAGAUUUUUGAAAUAAAUUCUCCAAGCAACAACGAUAUCAAGAAUAAGAUACUCAUACUCUACCAUCUCACAUUCCACAGUGACUUAAGUAACACAGGGUUUUAAAAUGAUUUUUCAAUAAUUGCAGGUUUUCAGGAAAAAUCACAGAGUGAGAUUAAUCAUGAUUAGAUACAUUUUGAUCAUGUUAAUCUAUCAUGUCGGAGACAAUAUUCUGCAGAAACCAAGAUAUAUGUGUAUGUAUAAAAUGUGCAGAGUAUGUACCUGAAUCGUGGAGUGGUGUAGUCGAAGUGCUUUUGGCAUGUCGAGGGAUCUCCCCCAUACUUGUUUUCUGCUUACUUGCAUAAAAAAAAUAAAGUGGAGACACACAAGACAUAAUAAUAAUCUUUAUUCUUGAGGCAUUUAUUACAACUGACUAGUAAUGAACUGAAGCUAAUAAUAGAUCUAAGCCGAAUUUAAAGAUGAAUAACUAAGAUACAUUGCGUCAAGAUCUAAACUAGAUAACUUAGCGGCGCUCUAACUCCCUAAUCUUCUUAUUGGCACCAGCAAGAUCAUGCUUAAGACCUAGUAUAACGGUGUUCUGGUUAGAGAGCUGUCUAUUGAUAGAGUUAACCGAGGACUGGAGCUCUAUGAUGACCUUGUCUAGCCUACGAACGUCCUCAUCUACAUCUGCUAUAGUCUUGCGACGCUUAGGAGGUGUGUCAAUAGCGUUGAGGGCGUGCUUCGGGGCUGCCUUUGGAGGGAUGAAGCGGACUUUGGCUCCUCUAACCCCCUCGAAGUAAGGCCUCUCCUCCUCCGUAGUGUAGCAGAUGCUGCUGAUCUCGCCGCUCCGGUUGGUCUUGACUCCAACGACCCGCUCAUUGGGUCUGGGUGGCAGGAUUCUCGUGCCGGCUGGCACCUUGACGGUGGCCUCCUUCUUGGCUGACAGUCCCUUUAGAAGUAGGGGCUGCGGCAGUGCGGUGAGAACUAGUUGAGCAUGGUAGGAUUAGGUGGAGCUGCGCUGGCGUGAUGGCAUGGCUGCUAGCUGUCGCUCUGUGUGGGCCGAGACGAGAGCGUAGGCGUCGGGGUCUUCCUUGGGCUUCUUGUUGAGGUCGAAAGGGACGACUUCCCAAUCGUCGUGGUACUCGUCGGCCAUUGGAGCAGCGAGGGACUAAGCAAGCUCUAAUUGAAGAAGGAGAGAAGGCUUGAAUGAAUUGGUGUUGAAAACUAACGUCAGGGUUCCGUUUAUAUAGGGGUCAAAAAGUGCCUCUAGGGUUUGCUCGGGCUACUCCCGCCGCCAUGCGUGCGAAACAUUCAAUCCGCAUGAUUAUUUAGUUUACCAUAAAUGGGUUUAUCGCGAUAGAGGAAAUUGGGACUGAGAGGAGACAGGGGCUGGACGCCCGCCCUCAUCAUCAGGGCGCCCGCCCUUUGCGUGGCUCCGUUGUGGGCCCGCCUCCUCGAGCAUGCUUCUAGAUUCAAAAUUUAUUCGAAAAAUAUAUACGUGGUCCAAAAACGUCAGAUUAAAAAGGUCGGGCUCUAAUUUUCCAUAGGAAGGUAGACAUGGAUCACGUCUAUUUCCUCUAAUUCUUUAUUAGGCUCAAAAAAUAAUUUAAGACGUUGACCAUUUACCUUGAAUAACGUACCUUCGUUAUUUUGAAGUGUGAUAGCUCCGUGGGAUGAUGAAUUGAUUACCUUGAAUGGUCCUUCCCAUUUACUCUGGAGUUUUCCAUGCCCGAAAAGCUUUACCCUAGAAUUAAAAAGUAAUACCUUAUCUCCAGGUGCGAACUCCUUCUUCUUGAUCCUCUUGUCAUGCCACCUUUUGACUCUUUCUUUGUAGAUCUUCGAGUUGUGAUAUGCUUUCUCUCGCCAUUCUUCCAAUUCUAAUAGUUGCAUUCUUCUAUGAUCUCCAGCGACAUCUAGGUCCAUAUUCCAUCUCCUUAUGGCCCAGUGUGCUUUGAACUCUAAUUCAACAGGUAGGUGGCAAGUCUUCCCGUACACCAAUUGGUAUGGGGACAUUCCAAUUGGGGUCUUGUAUGCUGUCCGGUAUGCCCAGAGUGCAUCGGGUAACUUGUCCUUCCAUGCCGUUCCCAUCUCAUUGACUGUUUUUUGAAGAAUAUUCUUGAUUUUCUUGUGGAAGUCUCUGCUUGGCCACUUGUCUGAGGAUGGUAGGGGGUAGCGAUGUUGUGACGGAUUCCAUGUUUUGAUAGAUAGUGCUUGAAGCGUUUGUCGAUGAAGUGUGCUCCUCCAUCACUUAUCACUACUUUGGGGACUCCAAAUCUUAGAAAUAUAAUUUCUUCAAACAUCCUCUUUGAACUGAUGUUGUCGGCGUGUUUGCAAGGUAGUGCCUCUAACCACUUGGAGACGUAGUCAACUGCCACCAAGAUGAUCUCACACUUCUUUGAUGGGGGAAAUGGACCCAUGUAGUCUAUUCCCCAGACAUCAAAGAGCUCAAUCUCAAGGUUGUUGGUGAGUGGCAUGGCAUCUCUUGUGUUUAUGUUUCCGUGCCUUUGACAUGGCCCGCAUCUUCUGAUAUAUUGCUUUGUGUUUUCAUACAUUGUAGGCCAGUAGAAUCCACACUGCCAGAUCUUUGAAUGUGUACGGAAUGCUCCAUAAUGACCUCCAUAUGGUGAUGAAUGACAUCUGCCGAUGAUCUUCCAUCCUUCCUCGGUGGUCACACAUCUUCUGAGUAAGCCAUUAGAGCAUACUCGGAAGAGGUAUGGCUCAUCCCAUAUAUGUGAACGAGUUUCUUGAAUAAGCUUCUUCUUGUUCGCUCCUGGUGGUACAUACCCUGAAAACCAUAAAAUCAACAAUAUCUGCAUACCAGGGGUCAGACCUGUUAAUCCCGUAGAGCAUGUCAUCCCGGAGUGAAUCAUUGAUGGGGGUUUCCUGUGGAUUCUUAAAAUACAUUCUAGACAAGUGAUCAGCAACAGAAUUUUCUACUCCCUUUUUAUCUUUUAUUUCCAAGUCAAAUUCUUGAAGUAAUAAGAUCCAUCUAAUCAGACGAGGUUUAGCAUCUUUUUUAUUGAGUAGAUAUUUUAGUGCAGCAUGAUCAGUGUAAACAAUUAUUUUAGCUCCAACUAAAUAAGAUCUAAAUUUAUCAAUGACAAAGACAACGGCCAGAAGCUCUUUUUCAGUGGUUGCAUAAUUAAGUUGAGCUCCUGUCAAAGUUUUACUGGCAUAAGCAAUUGCAUGAUGCUUCUUAUUUUUAGUUUGUCCCAAGACUGCCCCCACAGCAUAGUCACUAGCAUCACACAUAAUUUCAAAAGGCAAUGCCCAAUCAGGGGGUUGAAUGAUUGGUGUAGAGACGAGUGCAUUCUCUAAUAAAUUGAAAGAUGUUAGGCAUGCAUCAUCAAAUUCGAAAGGACCAUCCUUGGCUAGCAAAAGAGUACGUGGUCUAGCAAUGAAUGAAAAAUCUUUUAUGAAUCUGCGAUAAAAACGAGCAUGGCCAAGAAAGCUUCGAAUUCCUUUUAUAUUCACAGGUGGAGGUAGUUGUUCAAUUACUUCAAUUUUAGCUUUGUCUACCUCAAUACCUCUUUCAGACACUAGGUGUCCCAGCACUAUUCCUUCCCUAACCAUAACAUGACAUUUUUCCCAAUUAAGGACUAAGUGCUUUUCUUCACAUCUUUGCAAAACCUUGUCUAAGUUUUCAAGACAACUAUCAAAAGUUUUUCCAUAUACAGAGAAAUCAUCCAUGAUAACUUCCAUAAUCUCUUCAAUCAUAUGAGAAAAUAUAGACAUCAUGCAUCUUUGAAAAGAAGCUGGUGCAUUACAUAACCCAAAAGACAUUCUACGGUAAGCAUAAGUUCCGUAUGGGCAUGUAAAAGUGGUUUUGCUUUGAUCAUCGGGAUGGAUCGGGAUCUGGUGAUACACUGAAUAUCCAUCUAAGAAAUAGAAGAACGAAUGGUUCGCUAAUCGCUCUAGCAUCUCAUCUAUGAAGGGUAAAGUAAAAUGAUCCUUUUUCAUGGCUUUGUUCAGUUUUCUAUAGUCUAUGCACAUCCGCCACCCUGUGACGGUGCGUUGCGGAAUUAGCUCGUUCUUUUCAUUCGUAACGACAGUCAUGCCUCCCUUUUUAGGCACAACUUGGACUGGGCUAACCCACUCACUGUGCGGCACAAGAUAUAUAAUCCCUCUAUGCAGCAACUUUAUAACUUCCUUUUUAACUACCUAUCUCAUCGCGUUGUUAAGUCUACGUUGGGGCUCUCGAGAAGGUAAAACAAAAGGAUCUGUCGAAAUACGAUGAGUACAAAUCAUAGGAUUGAUUCCUGUAAGAUCUUGGAGUGAGUAGCCGAAAACUGAGUGAUGUUUCUCAAGAAUGGUCAUUAAUCACAGAGUUUGCUCCUGAGUGAGUUUGUCACUAAUGAUCACAAGAAACUCUGGAUAAUUGUUUAGGAAAGCAUAUGUAAGACCGGGUGGCAAAGGCUUAAGCUCUAUGGGAGGUCUAGGUGUUUCUGCAAACUCAUCUAAGGGUUCAGGUUCAGAAGGUUCAGCCUCUUCUUCUGUGAAGAAAGGAGCCUCGUCUUCUAAGUCUGGUUCAUUUAAAAGCUCUAGAGAUGCAGCCUUUACCUCCUCCAUAGGAUCGGGCAAAAGAUAUGACUCGGUCUUAUUAUUUAAGGAGUGAGAAAUCGUUAUUGGAAAUUUAAAAGCUUUUCCAAAAGAAAUGUGUAGCUUUUCCAGUAUGACCUUCAUAAAGGAGUCUUCUAAAAGGUUGUCCUAUCAACAGGUCGAAGUCCCAUGUAUCAAAGAUAUAAAAGUUCAAAUGAACCAUGGAGCCUUCUACCAUAAAGGGUAGGACAUUAAUAAUUCCAAGACUCGGGACUAAUUGUCCCAAAGAUUCCUUUAUGACCUUUGUUGUGGGGGUUAAGACCAAAUUUUUAAAUAAUUUAAGUGCAAAAGAUUCAGACAUGAUGUUGAUCCCCACAACAGGAUUAUAGAGAGCAUCAAAUUGAUCAGAAUCAUAAGCACAGCGUAUAGUUAUAGGAGGUGUGUCCAAACGGAUCACAUCAGAGGAAAGCUCUGACUCCUCCAACCAUUCGCUACUCAUGACUGAGAUAAGCUCUCUCAAUUGAUGUUCACUUGGCAAACAAAUGCUAAAAUGGCCGUUUUGGGGUCUAUCUAUAGAAUGAUAGUUUGAAAUGUUUCCAAAAUCGGCAAAAAGAUCAGAUUCUAUAUCCAGCAUGAAAUCAGGUGGUGGAAUUUCUUCCUUUUGUGGCUCAGAACUUGGGAUAGCUAAAGUAGAUGGAGAAUUUGGUAUAGUGUCUACUUCGGCUUUGUGGGUUUCAUCAUGAAGGGUAUUAUCCAUCUCAGCUUCUAGGAUUCUAUCUAGGAUUGCUCUAGCGUCAUCAGUAGGGAUGCGAAAGAAAGAACCUCCAGACAUUGUAUGUAGCAUUUGUUUAUGAUCUUUCUGAAGACCUCAAAAAAUGUGAAAUAAAAGAACAGGGUCUUCAAGAUUAAGGUUUGGACCAGAUUCUAAAAGGUCAGAAAAACGUUUCUAGGAUUUUCCCAAAGUUUCAUUAUCUUUUUGUUUAAAAGAUAGGACUUCAAGUCUGAGGUUGCCGAUACGGUCGAGGGAAUAAAAAUCUAGACAAAAGUUGGCUCGUAAGACUCCCCAUUCACCUCAUUGUUGACUUACCUUCUGACUAUACCAUUGUCUAGCUUCUCCCCUUAAAGAAAAAGGAAAAAGCUUCCAACGUAAAGUUUUAUCAGAAAUGCCUUCAAUGCGAAGACAAUCACAUGUUUCCUCAAAAUCUCUAAUAUGAAGGUAAGGGUUUUCAUCUUCCUUUCCUAAAAAAGAUAGGUUUUGAAUCAUGGCAAUCAACCUGGAACUUAACUUAUACUGGGAUGUUUGGAUAGGCCGUGAUGACUCCCAUUGUAAAAGGUCAGUUUCCGAAGGUGUUGCAAAUUGAUAGAUCGAUUUAGAAUCUUGGUUUUCCAUAAGGUAAGAGUAAAUAAAAUAAAGAAUAAAAAGAUAAGAAAAAAUAAAAGUAUAGAUACAAGCUAGUAGUAAGACUCAAGGUUAUCUUAGCAAACCAUCUUUCUCCCCGGCAACUGCGCCAGAAAUGCUUGUUGAUAUUUGGUAAGACAAUCAGGAAUUGAUCUGCAAGCGCACGGAUAUCGAUGAGCACUUCACCCGGGAUGUUAUCCAGAGUAUCGUAUUUAUAUUUUUACCACUAGGAGAAAGCGUGCAUCUGACUAACCAGGUCUAUUACUACUAACCUUUAGACUACAAACAAUGUGACUCGAUGUGAGUGAUGUAUAGAGAAGACUACAACCGCACUCUCAUUCUAACCUUGGUAAGGAUGAUCUACUAUUCUGUUAGGGAGGCUCACGGAAUCUAGACACCACAGAGGAUGUUCGACCCACACCUAUAAACCCUAUCGAUCCUGCUAAUGAGAUUAUGGGCUACAAAGGUAACUCGGAAAUGUCACGUUCCUGGCUACUACCAUGGUCCAGCUAGACAGGGGAUAUCUAUGAGUAUCCUAGCCCAAACACCACGUUUACGCCAGAGAUGAUUACUCUAAACUCUACGCGAAGAGAUCAAAGUAAACUCAUAAACCAAAGAACAAUAAAACAAAGAACUUACCAGAAUUUAGAAGUCGAAAUACUGAAGAAUCCUAGGAGCAAGCCUCGAGUUAGGAGACUUGAUCCCACAGGUACAACCUCAGAGUAGACACUGACAGGUCGGGCUUCCUCCGAUCUACACCUCCACUCUAUCUCUCUCAAUCUAGUAGAACUAAUUAUACUCUCACAUUGGAUGCUAAGCCCUAUGAGGUGGGAACCCUAAGGAACCUCUCUCUCUGAAUCCUCUCUGGAAAAUAUGCUAAUGAAUAAUGGGAUUCUAUCUCUCCAGGGGCCAGGGGCAUUGCUUAUAUAGCCUUUUCAAAUGAAUCUGGGCCGUCGGAUCAAACCGACCUUGAUUGAACAGUUCUCCUUGAUCCUCAAAGGCGGUGGAGCAUAAUCCGCGUGAUUCACCGUGAUUGGCCACUAGAGGUGGGCGGGCGCCCAAGGAGGGAGGGCGGGUGCCCUGCCCCUGGGCCCAAUUGGCCUCCCGUUCGUUCCCAUGGCUUCUGGAGUCUUCUAGAUGUUGAAUAAUUGCGGUGCACAUUAAUAUCUCUAUGUAAACCUAACGUGUGGGCCUUUCUUCCAUAUUUCCUGAUAACCCCCUGCAGAAAUAGAUAAACAGCAAAACUCAUGGAAUUCUGUCAGAUCAAACCCUAAUUCUAGGUGUUGUUUGUAUAUUAGUCCUUUUCCUUGUUUAUUUCAUAAUUAAAAUUGAUACUUAAGAACCGUCAACAUGUGCCUCUAGAAAUAGAAGGGGGAGACGGAGAGAAGACCUUAGGUGAAGCUGAGAAGCCGUUUAUUUGUUGGUGCAAGCGCUUCAUAUUUAUUCCUCACCAUAGGUUUGUGCGUGAUUUUACUUCUUAUAUUAUAUAUUAUGUAUUGAAUUUAAAAAAGUUUGCUCACAAAACUUGUAAUUGUUUUCUUUGGAGGGACUCCUCCAACCUAAGUUCAGUUCUUUCCCUAGCGCAUCAUAGUGCUGCGGGCGGUGACAAUGCUGGAUCUCCUCCAACACCUGCGGCGGCCACACCGACCCCACCACCGCCUCCACCAUGCUCUCCACCUCCUCCACCGAGGUCUCCAACUCCUCCACCCCAUUCUCCAACACCAAGAAGAUUGGCCCCACCACCUCCACCGCCUGCACCGCCCUCUCCAAAGAGUACACGGUCGGUCCCCUCGCCUCCAAAGCGAGGUAGUCAGAAGCGGUCCGCCCAAGAACGACCGAAGUCAUCGGUCCCACCUCCAAAGAAGGCUGCCUCAGCAAAGAAAGCUAAGACACCAGCACUUUCGGACUAUGAGCGGUCUCUGGUCAAGUCUUCACAACCUAGAAAGAGAGUAGGAAAGGUGGUCCCACAGCUCGGAGAAGUAUCAAAACCGGUGCCCCUUUGAUUGUGCCAAAUCAAUACGGCUCAAAUGAAGACUUGAUGCCAAAGAAAUCCUUAGCGUUGUCUGAGCUAGAUUCGCUUGAGCAUUACUUUGGACAGAGCGGUUUAAAUAUUGAGGACAUUGCCACCAUUAUUGGAUGUCAAACAUUUGAAAAAGCUGAGGUAGUUGUUCAAUGGAGGGCAACAUAUGAACUGGGCAGGAGUCUAUUCAACCCUCAGCGUUUACAUGAGCUCGACACACAAAUGUUUGCAAUAAACAAGUGGUGCAUGGAGGCGUCUAAAAGGGGAGAUAAUUGGAUUUCUGUUCGUAUUAGACAACAUCACUACUUCCGUGGAGAUGACCUCAUAUACGUUCAGUUCGAAGAAUUGCACCAAUUAUGUCACCUCGACGCUCUCGACAAAUCUCUUGUCAGGUGCUUUUGUCUGUAAGUAUUUCUUUCUUUUUAUUAAACUUCUUCCUUCUUUAAUUAUAUGUAUAUAAUCCUUACACAUUUAGGAUUUGUAUGUAUAUAUGCAGGCACCAAAUGAGAGAGCUCACAAUUAGAAAUGACAAUAGUAUUGGGUUCAUUGACCCUUAUAUUGUUUUCAAGGCUCUGCAGGCAGUGUGGACAGCAUCUCAUGAGACAGAAGUCUGCACCAAUCUUAUAAGGUACUUUGUGAACCAAAAAGAAAAACAAAAAAAUACUCUUCCCCUUCAACUUUGAGUGCGUUAUAUAGUUAUUAAGUGCAUGCACAUUUUAUUUUACUUAUUAUUACUCGAGACGAGUUUUAUAUAGUUAUAUAUAGGCCUGACUAUAUAUAUGUGUAAACAGCUUUCACUGGAUACUCAUGGUUAUUGAAAUUCCCAAGAACCGGUUGAUAAUCUUUGACUCAAUGAGAAAACCACAAGAAAAUUUUCAAAAAUGGUAAACAUUAUUCAAAGGUACGUAAUGUCGAUCUCACCUAGAAGAAUAUCAUAAUAUGACUCUAUAAUUAUUAGUUCACGAUCCACAAUGGCUGUGUGUAGGGUUUGGGAAAGAUUUAUUGACCGUGAACAUCUCAGUGGUUGUAAAGCGCCGCUUAAUAUAAUUCAUCCACAAGUAAGUUAUACUAGCUAGCAAACUUUCGCUAACUUUUAGCCUUCUUAUUGUCGUGGUCAUGAAUAUUAUAUAUAUAUAUAUAUCAUACAGUGGUGUUUAAGACAAGAAGGGGGGAACAACCUAUGUGUAUAUUACGUGUGCAAAUUCAUAAUGGCACAAGUCAAUCAAACACCCAUAGAGACGCUCAGAGUACGUUACAUGUCUCUUUUCACAUCUCCUGCAUUAUAUUGAAUAACUUAGAUAACUAAUACCUUUUUUAUUUAUUUCAAAUUAAAGACGGAAUGGUUGAGGGAAAAGGUCAUGCAAAACGACCGAAUCAAAGCUAUCCAAGAGACGAUAGCAGGAUUUCUCCGCAAGCAAGUGAUCAAUCCAAACGGCGAGUUUCACUUCAACGGCAACGAAACUCUUAUUCCAAACAACGAUGAUCAUUUGUAUCGGUUUUAGACAUUGGGAGUGUUACGAAUUUUGUACUUAUAAAACUAUAUAUAAAGCUUUUUACAUAUCUAUUUAAUUUUUGAUGUGGCCUAUUCAUUUUAUUAUAGGCAAAGCUUAAUUAUAAAGCUAAGACUAUAAUUUUCAUUUAUAUAUGCUUAAUAUGCGUGUAAUAUAUAUAUAUAUAUAUAUAUAUAUAUAUAUAUAUAUAUAUAUAUAUAUAUAUAUUAUCGUAUCAGCAUAAAAUAUGUAUUGAAAAACCUAUUAUUAUUAUUAUUAUAUAAAAACAAUAAACAAAACCGAAGAAAUGAACAAAAAAAGAACCCCUGGUCACGAGAAAUCCAAUGUUUCUUCAAAAAAGAAUAAAUUGAAGAACAACAAACUAGCGCUCAAAGCAUGGGAUAAGCAAUCUUUCGGAAAAACUAGAGACAGAGUGAGGAUAUGCGGAAAUAAAGUAAAUGAAAUUCUAUUCAAGCAAGACUUGAUCCAAAUGGAUCCCCUCAAUGCUGAGCUUGUUGAUGUCGGGUUUAGGUCUUCUUUUUGCUUGCCAGAAUCCAUCAACAGGGGUUUCAUAGGGAGGUACCUUUUCUAGAAAGUUAUCAAGUUAUAGUGGAAUUACUAACCGGACUGGCUUUCUCCAAGAGAGGGUUUUGUCUUUUCCGCUUCCUUGCACAAAGAAAAAAAAUAAUACCAACCGGUGUUAAAGUGGGGCUUUAGCCCCGGUUCGGGAUCCGGGACAACAGGCCCUUCCCGACUGGUGCUAAUGCCCGAACAUGCAGCAGUGGAGUCAAUAGAGCCAAUACCGCCCCAUGACAUCAUUGCCACCAUUCUAGCACUUGAUCAUUAAGGGCUAUCUUCUACAUAGUGGCUCCCCAAAAUGAACCCUGGAGAGGUUGAUGAGUGGGCCCUGGAGCUCUUCGCCCCUAGAGUUAUUUUAGUCCAUUUGACCAGGCAAGCGACAUGGCAUCUUCGUACCUAUUAGGCGUCGGACGCUUGAUCUGUUCUCUGUGGCUCGAGACGUUGGUUCAACACCCAAGUGUAGGGUAUUUUAAACGCAAACGGAAAAAUCUGCAAGCGCACGGAUACCGAUGUAGCUUUCACCCGGGAGUAUUCCAGAGUAUCAAUUUUCCACAGAGAACGUGAGUGUACUAAUUAAGAUUCAAGAUCGCCCAAGGGUAACUAUAUAAUUAGUUUUUGGUGGGAAGAGAGGAAGUUUCCUAAGAGUUCUCUAGUUGAUCUACUUCAAAGAUUAUUUAUUUUGGGACAUCAGAUCACUAACCACAGAAAGAGAUGAGAAGGGGGCUAGGAAGCUCUGACUACGGUCCUACAAACACCGAUCCGAACGAGAUGGAAUACGUCGACCGUUAGGGCUGUCACUACCCUAGGGCUACCACAACAAUCCACACGAUUGAGUGCAAUUCCAGGUAAUUGCAAGACUAAACACCACGUCUAAUCUAUUAAUUACUACUCUAGCGUUAUAAAGACUAGAGCACUUGAUGCAAGUGGGAAUCCAAUAAAUAACUUGAAUGUAAAUAAAAGUAAUUAAAGAACUCAGGAAUAAUGAAUUGAAGAACUUAGAGAACGAUGAAGAACAAACUAGUUGCUACAAAAGAACAAUGUUGAGGAAGAUCCGACAGAUCCGGCUCCUCCUCCGCUCUCCUCUUCUCUCUCUCUAUUUUCUAGAUUACAACUAGAACUAACUAGAACUAGAACUAGAAGAACUAGAACUAGAACUAGAUGAACUAGAACUAGAUGAACUAGAACUAGAGCUAGAUCAACAAGAGGUAGAACUAGAUGAACUAGAGGGAUCCUCUCUACUUGGACGAAGAAUUGAAACCCUAACUUUGAUUCUGUAGAAGAGGUAUGAUCUCCAGGGGCCAGGGGCCUUGCUUAUAUAGUCUUUUCAGAUGAAUCUGGUCCGUCGGAUCAAACCGACGUUGAUUCAACGGUUAUCCUUGAUCCUUUAGGUCGGUGGAGCGUAAUCCACGAAACAGGUCCGAAUUGGACACUGUAGCUGGGCGGGCACCCAAGGGAGUAGGGCAGGCGCCCUGUCCCUGAGCCCUCUCGGCUUCCCGUUCGUUCCCGUGGCUUCUAGAGUCUUCUAGAUGAUAUAAAAUUGCGCGGCACGUUAAUAUCUCUAUGUAAACCCGACGUGUGGGCCUUUCCUCUGUAUUUCCUGAUAACCCCUUGCAGAAAUAGACAAACACCAAAACUCGUGGAAUUCUGUCAGAUAAAACCCUAAGUCUAGGUGUUGGUUGCAUAUAAGUCCUUUUCCAUGAUUAGUUGAUGGUUAAAUGUGAGCAUUAAGGACCGUCAACAAGCUCCCCCAAGCUUAACCUUUGCUCAUCCCUGAGCAAAGAUGAACUCAAGAGUUUCUGCAGUGGUUUCAUACCUUAAAGGUACACAUGCGUUCAAACAAGAUGUCAUCUCUGGGUUAGGGUAAACUGUUAAGAUUUAAACUUACUCAUUUUUCCUUCCACCAUGCGGCUUGUAACCGUCACUUGUGUCUUGAGCAGUUAAAAGAUAGAACGGUCUAGACAAGCACCAUGUCUCUUGUUCUUCGAUUAACUAUAGCUCUGUUGUUUUUGCAGAUUUUCAAAUAAAACUCAGAGAUUCCUUGUAUGACUCUCUCUAGUCUCUCUUUUGUGGUAUUUCUAGAUCCUUACCAAAGCAGUAAUGGUGUAUGCCUUCUCUCAAAAUAUGUGGUAUUUUUGGUAUGAGGCAUAGUGGCAUUGCCUUCUCUCUCACCCUACUCUAAUAAGGUCUUGAUAUCUGGAGCUCAUAGGUGGGAGACAGCUAAUACAUACUUACAAGACAUUUAUUGCAUAGUCAAACCAUGGAUACAAAAGAACAAGUCAAUAAGUGAAAUCAAGAUGUGCAUGUGUGGUGAAUGAAUGGUGUGUGGUGAUGAUGGUGAUAACAAUGGUGAAAGUCUAAUUCUACUUGUGCUCUUUUGAGGGGAUACAUACCUUUCUUGCUCUUUUGAAACUUUUUGAGGAGAAUGAGAUGCUCUAUAUUUUCUUUUCUUUCCUUUCUCUCAGGUGGGUAUCUUGUACCCCCAAUUCUACUGUCGGACACUUGUCCAUUUUUACCUCUCGUCUCACUUUUUCUUUUCUUUCGAGGUUCCGGGCACUUGCCCCUUUUUAUUUCCUCGUAUCUUCUUCUCUCUUUUUUUUAGAGCACUCACCUCUUGAAAUAAUGUAGCAAGUGGUAGUAACCGAAAUAACUUGAGCAUUUAUUUCGUAGGAGUAGAAUAUUUUUGGGUGGUUCUGGAGAUGGAAAUGGGUGGAUAUAUGUGGAUGCGUACUUCCGGAGUAGAAGCAGCAUGUGUGAGUGAACGUGCAAGUGAAUCUUGAUUUAACCACAUGACAAGCUCCUAAGGGUCUACACAGCUUGACCACACUCAAUGCUCAUAAGCAGUAAAAAGUAAAUAUGUGGCUCAAAGUCUAGCAAGCAUGUAUAUAUGGCUGUGGUAGGAAUUUGAACUCUCAUCAUACAGGAACUCAUCAUGUGAUAUUUUAAAGAUUUUCAAAGAUAAAAUUCUCUAGAAUUCUAGCAUCUCUAUGAAUAGAUAAACAGUAGCUCAACCUUCCCAUAUCAUAUCCAUUAACAACUUAGACUUUAGAUCAAGUACUCUUCCCACAAGUUCAGGUUUAGAGCAAAUCUUAAUUAAUAACAGUCAUGCCUAAACUUGAGAGAGAUUUUAAUUUUGAGAACUAGUCAUGGCAGAGCAACUAUUCAUCAUUUCCAUGUGAGAGCUUAUCAUCAGGGUUCAUAGCAAACUUUAUUUAUUUAUUUAUUUAUUUAGCAAACUAAGUAAAGAUAUAUAUAAGCACAAAAUCUUUAUUUGGGUUUUUAUGAUUAUACAACUUUUUAUUAUUUAAGUAAAGUAAAAACAUGAGUAGAACACUUAGCUGGAUAAAUGGGGGUGCUCUUCCCCAAGCUGGAUCUUGACGUAAUUUCUUCUGAUGUAGCUAGCAGGUGGCGGAGGUGUAUUUGAAUGUCGGCAGCACCCUGACAGCGAUUAGGAUGUCCUCCGUCUGCUAGUCUUCUUUGAUCCUUGAAUUCUGUGGAGCUCAAAUAGACAACAAAGCUUUGUGGAAAUGGUUAAGUGUUAGCAUAAAUAUCUAGCCUUUAUCAUGUUGAGCCUCCUCAAUAAAUGUUACUUUCUUUAGUAAGAUCAUAAAUUUAUUUUUAUAUUUUUAUUUUUAUAGGACAGGAAUAUAUUUAUUUCAUUUUUACGCCACCACAGUGAAUGUACUUAUGGGUUUUAUGCCAUGAGCAUACUCACAUGGGGCUUACUAUUUUUAACAUUUUUAUUUUCUUUUCAAGAUGAUAUGAACCUGAUUAGGUAAGCAAACUAUUUUCAAUAAUUGAAAGGAAAAAGAUAACUACCAAGUUUACCUCUUGGCAAGGCGUUCGGUGUUUUUAAGUCCUUCGAACAGGACUCUCCGUUUCCUCAGUCAUCUUGGGAUUCGCUCGUCCUGGGAUUCGCUGGAUGGCGUAGUCGGUGGUUCUGGCGACGCCUUCUCUUCGUGUAUAACUAUCUUCUCUCUCCACACCUGACUCGGUGCUACGGUCUCCUCAGGACAGUUCUGUUCAAGUUGUAUUGUCUUCAGACCUUACUACUUCUCCUUCGUAGUCUGCCCAUCCGUCCUUAAUGAUUUGCCUCCUCUGGUUGCGGUUGCGUCAUCUUCUUCUUGUCCUGACCUGCUUAGAGUCUUCAAUUAUAUAGUUAGGAUCAGUAAAAUAGCGGCGUACCUUCUCAGAGGGGAAGUGCAUGUGGACUUCUCCGGUUCCAAUGUAGAUGAUUGCUUUAACGGUGCUGAGGAACGGUCUCCCAAGGAUGAUGGAUGGAUCGUACUCGUCUUCUCCCCUGUCAAUAACCUUCAACCUUUUGGAAUGUUUGAUCUGCCAUCUGGAGCUGAAUGUAUGUCGGUUUUAGGGGCAUGGUUCCGAACAGUAGCUGAUAGGUGACUAGGUCGUCCUUUUUUGGUCAGGAACCCUGACUUCAGUCGAUGGUCUUGACCUCAUUGAACUACAGUGACCAUCUUAGCUGACUUGGUCCACAUUUGCUUGUUCCUGUUCCUCCUGUUGGUCCUCUUCCUUGGUUCAUGUCGGGAUUGCUUUGAGAUUUGUGUAGUCUUGUUCUUGAAGGAAAACAUCUCCUUCCUUCCCUUUAUGUAGAAACUUAUAUUGGUAGCACUAGCGUAGAUGACAGCUCCCGAAGUGUUCAGGAAUGGCCUCCAUAGGAUGAUGGGUGUCGUCUCAUCGGUACCAGUCUCUAUCACCACGAAGUCUUGCUGGGGCGUACAAGGUAUCAACUCGGACGCAGAGGUUCUCAAUAUUCCCUUUUGGAAACUUAGCGUACGAUCUGCAAGCUGCAAACACAUGGCUGUUUCUAAUAAAGGAUGUGUAAAGAAUUUUUCAUAGAGUACCCUGGGUAUAACGUUGACGCUAGAGCCAAAGUCGCAGAGUGCUUCUGGGAAGUUCACCAUGCCGAUGGAGAUCGGGAUGACGGUGCGUCCUGGAUCGCCUCUUGACCGGAAGAAGGUCAGUAAUUACUUCCACAAUGAGGUUACUCCAGUAGUUACGUCCUCAAGCAUCUCAGGGCAGUGAUUGCCUAAGUGUCAAGUAUCUCUAGUGUGUUUGUGCUCGUAGAUCUAGGUUCUUCACUUGGUGGAGUCUAGGAGUUGUAAAAGUCCUUCAUAUUUUGCUCGAAGUGUACUUGCUCAUAGAGACAAGGCAGAGAUCAAGUGCAUGGGCCCUAUUGGUGGAAAAACACCAACAGAACCAAAUGUGUAUUUGUUCUCUCUAACCUUAAGCAUAGUGAGCAAGACAAAGUUGAUGGAUAAGAAGAUCACGAGUGUAACAUUUAAAGCAUUUGUCAGAUCAGAUCGCUCAACCUAAUGGAAAGAUAAUCUAUCUAUACAUAUGUUUUGUUUAUAUCUUCCAGAGAUUGAAUGUGCAACAUUUUAGCUUAUAUGAUUAGGAGUGUGGGAUCACAAAGGUGGAAGGACUAAACAUAUUGAAUCGACUGGGUUGGUUAAUCUAGAGUUGUAAAUCAUACAUGUGUGUCUCUUUUAUUCAUGUGAACGCCAGAACCAAUGAGAAGCUUAUAAAAAGUGAUAGUCAAGUACCUUAAGAUGUUACCUUACUUGAAGAGUGAUGGUACAGUAUCACUUAUGGAAGCUUUCGUUUCUUAGCGGUUGUGCAUCAUGUUCGUGGCACCUUCCAUGGAUCAUCUCUUGUGAGCUAUGACUUCCUUGUGUAAAUUGUUAACCUUCAUGUGUCUCUCUCUUUGUCUCCAAUGUGGGUUUAUCUCAGGACUUCCCAGGUCGAUAUUGAAAGUUUUCCUGCAGGGGUUAGUCCAAUAAAAUAUCCCAUAUCUACUAUAGAAUACUAUGGAGUCAAAAAUCAACCUAGACACCAUGUCUAAUUUGAUUUAGGAGGGCAUUUUAACCGAAGCACCAUGCUUAAUUUAGAGAUAACUGAAACUACUCCAAACCUAGACAUAUACUAAAGCAAAUAAAGGUAGCAUGAGAGCAUUUAUAGAGAUCUACUCAAGUGGAGAUGAAGCAGUGUGAUUAGUAUUUAACAAAUUGAGCAUGUCUCAAAGGUAGGGACAACCAACAUAGCAACAUGGCAAAGGAUGUUUUUAUGUAAAGUACUCCCCCAAGCUUGAAUUUUGCAAAAUUCAAGUUUGGAUGAAUUUAAUUCAAUGUUGUAUGAUGAUUGGUUGGACAUACCUUGUGCUUGUCAUUCAUCCGAUCUUCUUGCUCCAAUCCUGGAAAGGUUAGUGACAAGAAUACCCGAAGGAAUAUUUUUUAGAAUUAUCCUUAUAUGCUCAGCACACAAGGUAAUGUUGCAAAUAAUUAAAAGCUCAUGUCACGAUCUGAUUAGUGCUUAUUUUAGGACACUAAGCUUGUCAUUGGGAAACCAUCAAUUUACGUCAGCGAUGUGGUUUCCCCUCCAACGCUGACCUACAUCAAGAUCAACUCAACGAGAUAUACAAUAUUUAUUAUAGACAUAUGCAUCGACAACCGCCCUUUUAAGGUUUUCAUAAAUAGAAAGGUAGAGGGGGUUGGAGAUCUCGAAUGUGGUGAUGUUGGAGAGACCAAAAGAUUGGGAAGAUGUUGCAUAUGAGCAUGGAGUAAAUGAAGUGGCUCUUAAAUAAAUUCCAUGCUCAUUAAUGCUUGGAGUGAAAUCCAUGUGGUGUGGUGAAAAUGGUAAGGUGAGUGUGGUAAAAAAGGAAAAGAAAAAGGAUACACGGACGACUUGGUUUCAAACUAGCACAGCUACCCUUCCCCAGCAACGGCGCCAGAAAACUUGUUGCGUAUUUUAAACGCAAAUAGAUAAAUCCGCAAGCACACGGAUACCGACGUAGCUUUCACCCGGGAGUAUUUCAGAGUAUCGAUUUUCGACAGGGAACGUGAGUGUACUAAUUAAGAUUCAAGAUCGCCCAAGGAUAACUAUAUAAUUAUUUUUUGGUGGAAAGAGAGGAAGUUUCCUAAGAGUUCUCUAGUUGAUCUAAGAAUCAAGAAUUAAUUCAAAGAUUAUUUAUUUCGGGACAUCAGAACACUAACCACAGAAAGAGAUGAGAAGGGGGCUAGGAAGCUCUCACUACGGUCCUACAAACACCGAUCCGAACGAGGUGGAAUACGUCGACCGUUAGGGCUGUCACUACCCUAGGGCUACCACAACAAUCCGCAGGAUUGGGUGCAAUUCCAGGUAAUUGCAAGACUAAACACCAGGUCUAAUCUAUUAAUUACUACUCUAGCGUUAUAAAGACUAGAGCACUUGAUGCAAGCGGGAAUCCAAUAAAUAACUUAAAUGUAAAUAAAAGUAAUUAUAGAACUCAGGAAUUUUGAAUUGAAGAACUUGGAGAACGAUGAAGAACGAACCAGUUGCUGCAAAAGAACAAUGUUGAGGAAGAUCCGACAGAUCCGGCUCCUCCUCCGCUCUCCUCUUCUCUCUCCCUAUUUUCUAGAUUACAACUAGAACUAGAAGAACUAGAACUAGAACUAGAACUAGAACUUGAUGAACUAGAGGUAGAACUAGAUGAACUAGCGGGAUCCUCUCUACUUGGAUGAAGAAUUGAAACCCUAACUUUGAUUCUGUAGAAGAGGAAUGAUCUCUAGGGGCUAGGGGGCCUUGCUUAUAUAGUCUUUUCAGAUGAAUCUGGGUCGUUGGAUCAAACCGACAUUGAUUGAACAGUUAUCCUUGAUCCUUUAGGUCAGUAGAGCGUAAUCCGCGAAACGGGUCCGAAUUGGACACUGUAGCUGGGCGGGUGCCCAAGGGAGUAGGGCGGGCGCCCUGUCUCUGAGCCCUCUCGGCUUCCCGUUCGUUCCUGUGGCUUCUGGAGUCUUCUAGAUGAUAGAAAAUUAUGCGGCACGUUAAUAUCUCUAUGUAAACCCGACGUGUGGGCCUUUCCUCCGUAUUUCCUAAUACCCCCCUGCAGAAAUAGACAAACACCAAAACUCGUGGAAUUCUGUCAGAUAAAACCCUAAGUCUAGGUGUUGGUUGCAUAUAAGUCCUUUUCCAUGAUUAGUUGAUGGUUAAAUGUGAGCAUUAAGGACCGUCAACACCAAGCACUAGUCUGGGCAUGCACUAGGUUAGAGUAAAUCUCAGACUACAAUCACUCGAUAGUCCGGGGUCUUGGUGAUCCCCCCAGCCAUAAGCAGUUGUUGACACUUCUAACGUCGUUACCAAAAGUAGAUUAACUAAUCUUGAUAACGGUGCCAAAAAUGGUAACUACUUCUCACGCCACUUAAGCCAAGUUGUCAUCCCCAGCAUGACAUAGAGAUGCGGUAUUCAAAUAUGCAAAUGCUCCUCUAACAACUAUAUGAAUGUGUAUCCGCAAGCGCACAGAUAAUACCGAUGAAGCAUUUUAACCAGGAAGUAUUCUAGGUAUCGUUAUUUAUAUUUUAACGACUUGAAAGGGAAUGCUAAGGAAUAAAUGAGGAAUAUGAGUAUCAUUGCAUGUGUAAUGAUAAGCUUCCAUCUAUCUCUCUCAAUACAUAGUAAAUGUCACAUAAAAUAUAGAUAAUAAAUGAAUAGUGACCAAAGAUAAAUACACUAAUGAGCAUAAACAACCACAUAAAAUAAUGAUAAGCACAUCAACAGAUAUUCUAAAAAGUCAUUAGCAUGGAAUUAGGACGAACUACAAGAAUAUUUCCUAAGUCAUUCUAACUAGCAUAUUGUGAUUAGUGCAACUAUACAUGGCAAUCAUGGCUAGAUAAAAGGUUCAUUCAUGUGUAGUGGGUAUUACUAAGGAAGAUGAAGAACAGAGUAAUCACUUCCCCGUAAAAGUACUGCUCUGCCUGCCCUAUAAACGGGGGGAGGACUACAGAGGAUUCAAUAGGACUGUCACUCCUGCGAUGUACCUUGCGUUCCGGAAUAUAGGGUCCAACCACAGAUAAAUACGGUAUAGGCACCAUGCCUACACAAUAUCUAUCAUUUACCCAUGGUACCAAUGGGCAAGCCAUUAUUGGAUAAACUUUAUACGAUCCUAAACAUGGAUAAAACUUAGAACUAACUUAGCCAAGUAUAUAAGCAUAAUAAACUAAGAACAAUAUAAUUAAUAACAUAAGCAAAUAGAAUAAAGUCAUAAUCAAUAUAAUGAAAUAGACCAAAGUCAUAUUCAUAAUAAUGAAGAAUAAUGAUGAACAAUGAAGAACUGGAGCAAGAAUUACCAAGAAUCCCCUUGACAGAUCCGGAAACCAAACGAAGAUUGACUCCUUCUAGUUCUAAUAUGUAGCUAUGCUAAACUAGUAAUCUAGCUGAUGUGGUGGCUCUAGGGCUUGACCAGAGGCUUCUCCUCUUGAGAUGAAUAUGAAUUAUGAAUUGUUGGCUCUCUCCAGGGGCAGGGGCCUUUCUUAUAUAGCCUCCUCAAAUGAACAUCGAUCGUCAGAUCAAACCGACCUUAAUUGUGUCGUUUAGAUUGACCCUCAAGGUCGGUGGAGCAAGAUCCGCGACGGGGAGCUUGAUUGGCUAAGGGGCCAGGGCGGCCGCCCCACCCCCUUGGGCAGGCACCCUAGGGUUGGCGCCCCUCGGCUUCCCGCUUCUUCCCACCUCUUUUAGAGUCUUCUAGAUUGUAGAAAAUUACACGGUUGGUUAUUAUCUCUAUGUAAUCAUGGCAUGUGGGCCUUUUCUCCAUAUUUCAUGAUAACCCUUUGAAGAAACAGACUUUCAGCAAAACUCGUGAAAUUCUGCCAGUAUAAACCCUUAUUCUAGCUAUUAGCUGCAUAUAGAUCCUUUUCCAUGAUUAGUUGACGGUUAAAAUUGAUACUUGAGGACCGUCAACAACUCCCCCAAGCUUACCUUUUGCUCGUCCCCGAGCAAACAUAAACUCAGUGGUGGAUCAGGAGUUGCUGUAAUGCUUUCACGCCUUAAAGGUACACAUGCUUUCAAAUAAGAUCUCAUCUCUGAGUUAGAACAAACAAUUAAGAUUUAAAACUUACUCAUUUUACCUUUCACCAUGGGGCUUGUAACCAUCACCUGUGUCUUGAGCAGUUGAAGGAUAGAACAGUCAAGUCAAGUGCCAUGUUUCUUGCUCUUUGAUCAACUAUAAUUCUAGAGUUUUUGCAGAUUUUCAAAUAAAACUCAGAGAUUCCUUGUAUGACUCUCUCAAUUCUCUCUUUUGUGGUAUUUCUGGAUCCUCACCAAGGCGUUGAUGGUGUAUGCCUUUCUCUCAAGAUAUAUGGUAUUUAUGGUAGAUUGCCUUCUCUCUCACCCUACUUCUAAUAAGGCUUUUGCUAUUUGGAGCUCAUAGGUGGGAGAUAGACUAUACAUAUUUACAAGACAUUUAUUGCAUAGUCCAACUGCGGAUCCAUAGGAACAAGUCAUAAAGUCAAAUCAAAAUAUGCAUGUGUGGCGAAUGAAUGGUGAUGAUGGUGGUAGUGAUGAAAUAGUGGUGAAAGUUUUCUUUUGCUCUUCUGAAGGAUACAUACCUUUCUUGCACUUGUAGCUUUCCGAAGGAACUGAGAUGCUUGAUUAUUUAUUUAUUUUUCACUUAGGUGGGUCUCUUAUACCCCUAAUUCUAUUGUCGGACACUUCUCCAUUUUUACACUUUUUCUUUUCCGAGGAUGGCGGACACUUGCCCCUUUUUAUUUCCUCGUCUUUCCCUCUUUUUUUCCGAGCACUCAUCCUUCUUGAGCAACAAAGCAAGUGGUAAUAACAAAUAAGACUUUAUUUCAUAGGGAAUUACUGAAAUAUUGUAACACCCUAAAAUUUACUCCUUUUGAAAUAUAGAUAAAAUUAUUUAUUUUUUUAUUUUUGUGCUCAUGAAAAAAUAGGAAAAAUAACAUUUUUAGUAAAUUAAAAUAUAUCAUAAGGCUUAGCAAUAUUUUUGUGCAUACAUGCUAGUGCAUAAGAUUUGAUGUAAUGUUUGCUUAUUGCUCCUUUGUGUGUUGACAGUGAGUGAAGUAUUAGAAUACGUUAGUAGGUCGAUAUUUCUACAAUCAAAUUCCUUGUCUCUCAGAUCAAGAUUUCAUUCAGAGUCUCUUAGAAAUCUUUUCUUUCAAACCUAAGUCACUCCUUUCAGUUUCUUGUCCAUCAAGCAAUCUCUACAAACUUUUCGGAAAAUUUUUUGGUCUUUUCCAUGAGCAGAAUCUAAUUUUUAGAUGCUCCAUAUUAUCUUAUCAUGCGCUCCAAAUACUUUAUUUGGAUUCCUCAUGUUCUAUAAUAUCUCUGAGAAUUUUUUCCAAAUUUUUGGAGCUUUCAGAGUAUUUUUUGUGGCUUAACUACUAAUUCUGGACUUUUCUAGAAUUAUUUUAUCCAUGAAAAUAAUUAAUUCCGAAAAUAAUAAACCUCUUACUAUUUUUCCAACGUCAAAGCCCAUUUGCAAUAAUGAUAAUAAAUCCCAAAGACCAUGUAUUUAUUUACUAAUGGGCUUUAAUUAGGCCUAUUAGUAAAGAUGAAGGUUGCAAAUCAAUUAGUACCAUAUCGCUAGUUGACGUGGAGGUGUGAAGUUUCUCUCCAUAUAUAUAUAUAUGUACCAACCCUUAGGCAAAGCACACCAAAAACUACAUAUGGGAAGCCUCUAGUUUGGGAAUUCCUAAGGUAGUAAAAUUAUAUUUUCUUCUCCUCUCUAUAUCGCCAAUGGCCAAUCCCGAUGACUACUAUCUCCGACAAGCGAUCGUUUUGCAGCUCUGAAGUUUACCUGGCCUGCCUCCGUCCGUCUCCAGCCAGGUCAUGCAAAAGUCAGAUCUUGAUCUUGGCUAUUCCGUGCAUGCUAUUUGUCAAUGCUCAAUCUCCGUUAGGGCUACUUUGGCAGCAGCGGAUCCCGAAGGGUUCCUCGCGCCUUCCCCGGGCCGAGAAAGCAUGCGCCAAUUUCUCCCAAGCCAAUCUGCGGUGCUCUUUGGAAGCCGAUCCACGCCACACAGACCCGCUUCCCUUCGUUUUCCAUGCGAAAGAAAUCCACGAGCCAGGACACCGGGAGCAUUUCCCCGAUCAGCCGCGCUCGCGCAACUGCACUGCUGCAGCAGUUGAGACACGCCGACAGCAGUUAGGAACUCCCCUGACAGCACUCUGCCAAAUAACAGCAGAGAAAUUCUCCCAUACGUGGACACCUCCCCCGAAGUGUAUGCGGGAAUUAGAAAUCCAAAAAAAUCCACGUCGGGGGCAAACUUACCGGGGCUAAUUUGCUGCUGCUGCCAAAGUAGCCCUUACCGUGAAUCUGCAAGCCACCGAAAAUCCUAUGAAGGUACAUGUCCUAGGUACCAGACCUGAAUUUUGCUCUCUAACUUGCCCAGAUUGUCUUCUAGUCAUCACGUGCCUUUGAUUAACCUUUUCUCAACAAGAAAACUAGCUGCACCUAUGCGUGACCUUGCUGCUGAGCUGCUGGACUGCUCCCAAAACUCCAGAACCCGCCAUCAACUUCCUGGUGUCGAGAGUCAUCUAAUGCUUAGGACAAAAUCUACCAUGGUCAUCAUUCGUUAUACACUAAGGAUUCUAUUGUUUCAUUAUCUUAGAUCCAUUCAAGUUACGUUGAGAACAUAGUGACAUAAUUUAUGUGUUAAUUGGCGUUGAUCGUGUGGUACGUUAGUAAAUUUUAUAAAUAACAUAUUUAUUUUAAUUAAUAUUUCUGUGCAAUUGGCUUUCAAAUUAUAAGAAUAUAAGCUUAACGUCUGUCUUCUACAUGUCAAAUGUUAUUUUGAUAAAAGGCAAUAUUAAUAUGUUUUAAAUUUGUAAUCCACUUUGUCUAAACACCUUUCAUAUACAGAAUUCGAAUUGGAUUAGAUGUUCUCACCUGUUAUUUAUUUUAUAAAAUAGAUGACUAACUUAUGAUUAGUUCUAACUCGGUUUUAUAUUAAAAUAAAUUAAGCUUGUAGUUGUUUCUUUUGUAUAUAAAAAUAUUUUGAUAGUCGACUAUUUAUAAUGAUAGUUCUAUUAUUAGCGUUACUUGUUACCUUGUAACAUUAGCUAUCUAUUAGUACGCUCUUUUACUCUGUGUGGUUGUUGGGCAUUCUUAACGUCAUUACCAAAAGUAGACUUAGUUUUCUAUUUCUGAUAACGGCACCAAAAAAUGUCAAACCUAUCUUUCAUGCCACUUAAGCCAAGUUGUCAUCCCCAGCAUGACAUGAGAGACGCGGUAUUGAAAUAUGUAAUUGCUCUUCUGAAUAAAUAAUAAAUGAGAUAUGCAAGCGCACAGAUUAAUACCGAUGUAGCAUUUUAACCGGGAAGUAUUCCAGGUAUCGUUAUUUAUAUUUUUACCACUGGGAAGGGAUUACUAACAUCAUUGUUGAUUAUGGAAUGAAAUAUGGAACUGAGUAUCUAUCAUUGCAUGUGUAAUAGAGAGCAUUCAUCUAUCUCUUGCAUACAGGGAUAAAUGUCACAUAAAAUAUAGAUAAAGUAUGAAUGGUGACAAAGAUAACUAAUCUGAUCAGCAUAACUAGCCACAUAUAAUAAUGAUAAGCACCUCAACAGAUAUUCUAGCAAGUCAUUAGCAUGGGAUUAGGAUGAACUACAAGAAUAUUUCCUAAGUUAUUCUUAACUAUAAAGUCUAGCAUAUCAUAGUUAGCGCAAUUAUACUUGGCAAUCAUUGCGAGGAAGAACUACGCCCAUGCAUAGUGAUAUUAUCAAGGAAGAUGAGAAACAUAGCAAUCACUCCCUGUAAUAAUAUUGCUCUGCCUGCCCUAUACACAGGAGGGGGACUAUAUAAGAAUCAAUAGAGCUGUCACCACCACGAACUACCCCGCGAUCCGGCAUAUAGGGUACAAUCGCAGAUAGAUACGGUAUAGGCAGCACGCCUACACAAUAUCUAUCAUCUACCCAUGGAUCCGAUGGAUAAACGCUAUACGAUCCUGAACAUGUAUAUAAUUCCAAUCUAACUAAGCCAAGCAUAUAACUAUGAUAAACUAAGAACGAUAUAAUUGCUAAUAUAAACAAGUAGAGCAAAGUCAUAAUCAAUAUAUUGAAAUAGAACAAAGUUGUAUUCAUAAUAUUGAAGAACAAUGAUGAACAAAUGAAGAACAGUAGAGGAAUUACCAAGAAUCCUCUUGACAGAUCCGGAAACCAAUCGAAGAUUGACUCCUUCUAGUUCUAACUUCUAAUCCUAUGUAGCUAUGCUAAACUAGAUCUAGUUGAUGUGGUGGCUCUAGGGCUUGAUCAGAGACUCUCCUCCUGAUGAAUGAAUUAGGGUUUGAGGAAUGAGAAUGAGUCCUCCAGGGGCCUAGGGCCCUGCUUACAUAGCUCCUCCAAAUGAAUAUGGGCCGUCGGAUCAAACCGACCUUAAUCGCACGGUUUUCCUUAAUCCUUUAGGUCAGUGGAGCAUUAUCCGCAAGACGGAGCAUGAUUCGCUGAGAGCCUUGGGCGAGCGCCCAAGGGGGGAGGGAGGGCGCCCAACCACCGAGCCCACUCGGCCUCCCGCUCGUUCCCUUGGCUUCUGGACUCGUCUAGAUGUUGGAUAAUUGCGGUGCUCAUUAAUAUUUGUAUGUAAACCCGAUGUGUGGAUCUUUUCUCCAUAUUCUCUGAUAACCCCCUACAGAAAUAGACAAACACCAAAACUCGUGGAAUUCUGUCAGAUAAAACCCUAAAUCUGGGUGUUGGUCGCAUUUUGAUCCUUUUUUUUAUUUAUUUGAUGAUUAUAUUUGAUACUUAAGGACUGUCAACAAACUCUCCCAAGCUUACCUCUUGCUCAUCCCUGAGCAAGAAUAGUCUCAGUUGCUGUAAUGCCUUAAAAUGUUGAUUGUACACAUGCUUUCAAAUGAGGUCUCAUCUCUGAGAAAAACUUACUCAUUUUACCUUUCACCAUGGGGCUUGCAACCAUCACUUAUGUCUUGAGCAGUUAAAAGAUAGAACAGUCUAGCCAAGCGCCAUGUCUCUUAUUCUUGAUCAGCUAUAGCUCUAGAGUUUUUGCAGUUUUUCAAAUAAAACUCAGAGAUUCCAUUGUAUGAUUCUCUCAGAUCUCUCUUUUAUGGUAUUUCUAGAUCCUUGCCAAGGUAGUGAUGGUAUAUGCUUUUUCACAAAGUAUGUGGUAUUUGUAGUAUAAGGCAUAGUGACAUUGCCUUGGUAAGGAUCCAGAAAUACCACAAAAGAGAGACUAGAGAGAGUCAUACAAGGAAUCUCUGAGUUUUAUUUGAAAAUCUACAAAAACUCCAGAGCUAUAGUUAAUCGAAUAACAAGAGACAUGGCGCUUGACUCGACCAUUCUAUCUUUUAACUGCUCAAGACACAGGUGAUGGUUGCAAGCCCCAUGGUGGAAGGUAAAAUGAGUAAAUUUAAAUCUUAAAAGUUUACCCUAACCUAGAGAUGAGAUCUUGUUUGAACGCAUGUGUACCUUUAAGGCAUAAAAUCACUGUAGAAACUCUUGAGUUCAUCUUUGCUCAGUGACGAGCAAAGGUUAAGCUUGGGGGAGCUUGUUGACGGUCCUUAAUGCUCACAUUUAACUGUCAACUACUCAUGGAAAAGGAUCCAAAUGCAACUGACACCUAGACUUAGGGUUUUAUCUGACAGAAUUCCACGAGUUUUGGUGUUUGUCUAUUUCUACAGGGGGUUAUCAGGAAAUACGGAGGAAAGGCCCACACGUCGGGUUUACAUAGAAAUAUUAACGUGCCGCGUAAUUUUCUAUCAUCUAGAAGACUCUAGAAGCCAUAGAAACGAACGGGAAGCCGAGAGGGCUCAGGGACAGGGCGCCCGCCCAGCUACAGUGUCCAAUUUGGACCCGUUUUGCGGAUCACGCUCCACCGACCUAAAGGAUCAAGGAAAACCGUGCGAUUAAUGUUGGUUUGAUCCGACGGUCCAGAUUCAUCUGAAAAGACUAUAUAAGCAAGGCCCCCUGGCCCCUAGAGAUCAUACCUCUUCUACAGAAUCAAAGUUAGGGUUUCAAUUCUUCAUCCAAGUAGAGAGGAUCCCUCUAGUUCCUCUAGUUCCAGUUCUAGUUCCUCUAGUUCUAGUUCUAGUUAGUUCUAGUUGUAAUCUAAAAAAUAGGGAGAAAGAAGAGGAGAGCGGAGGAGGAGCCGGAUCUGUCGGAUCUUCCUCAACAUUAUACUUUUGCAGCAACUGGUUCGUUCUUCAUCGUUCUCCAAGUUCUUCAAUUCAUAAUUCUUGAGUUCUUUAAUUACAUUUAUUUACAUUCAAGUUAUUUAUUGGAUUCCCGCUUGCAUCAAGUGCUCUAGUCUUUAUAACGCUAGAGUAGUAAUUAAUAGAUUAGACGUGGUGUUUAGUCUUGCAAUUACCUGGAAUUGCACCCGAUCCUGCGGAUUGUUGUGGUAGCCCUAGGGUAGUGACAGCCCUAACGGUCGACGUAUUCCACCUCGUUCGGAUCGGUGUUUGUAGGACCGUAGUGAGAGCUUCCUAGCCCCCUUCUCAUCUCUUUCUGUGGUUAGUGUUCUGAUGUCCCGAAAUAAAUAAUCUUUGAAGUAAUUCUUGAUUCUUAGAUCAACUAGAGAACUCUUAGGAAACUUCCUCUCUUCCCACCAAAAACUAAUUAUAUAGUUAUCCUUGGGCGAUCUUGAAUCUUAAUUAGUACACUCACGUUCCCUGUCGAAAAUCGAUACUCUGAAAUACUCCCGGGUGAAAGCUACGUCGGUAUCCGUGUGCUUGCGGAUUUAUCUAUUUGCGUUUAAAAUACGCAACAAGUUUUCUGGCGCCGUUGCUGGGGAAGGGUAGCUGUGCUAGUUUCAAACCAAGUCAUCCGUGUAUCCUUUUUCUUUUCCUUUUUUACCACACUCACCUUACCAUUUUCACCACACCACAUGGAUUUCACUCCAAGCAUUAAUGAGCAUGGAAUUUAUUUAAGAGCCACUUCAUUUACUCCAUGCUCAUAUGCAACAUCUUCCCAAUCUUUUGGUCUCUCCAACAUCACCACAUUCGAGAUCUCCAACCCCCUCUACCUUUCUAUUUAUGAAAACCUUAAAAGGGCGGUUGUCGAUGCAUAUGUCUAUAAUAAAUAUUGCAUAUCUCGUUGAGUUGAUCUUGAUAUAGGUCAGCGUUGGAGGGGAAACCACAUCGCUGACGUAAAUUGAUGGUUUCCCAAGGACAAGCCUAGUGUCCUAAAAUAAGCACUGAUCAGAUCGUAAUAUGAGCUUUUAAUUAUUUGCAACAUUACCUUGUGUGUUGAGCAUAUAAGGAUAAUUGUAAAAAAAUUCCUUCGGGUAUUCUUGUCACUAACCUUUCCAGGAUUGGAGCAAGAAGAUCAGAUGAAUGACAAGCACAAGGUAUGUCCAACCAAUCAUCAUACAACAUUGAAUUAAAUUCAUCCAAACUUGAAUUUUGCAAAAUUCAAGCUUGGGGAGUACUUUACAUAAAAAUAUCCUUUGCCAUGUUGCUAUGUUGGUUGUUCCUACCUUUGAGACAUGCUCUAUUUGUUAAAUACUAAUCAUACUACUUCAUCUCCACUUGAGUAGAACUCUAUAAAUGCUCUCAUGCUACCUUUAUUUUCUUUAGUAUAUGUCUAGGUUUGGAGUAGUUUCAUUUAUCUCUUAAUUAAGCACGGUGCUUAGUUAGGAAUGUUGAUCUUACUUCCAAGGGAUUUUAAAUUAAACAUGGUGCUUAGGUUAAAAUGCCAUCCUAAAUCAAAUUAGACAUGGUGUUUAGGUUGAUUUUUGAGCCGAUAGUAUGCUAUAGUAGAUAUUGGAUAUUUUGUUGGACUAACCCCUGCAGGAAAACUUUCAAUAUCGACAUGGCAAGUCUUGAGUUAAACUCACAUUGGAGACAAAGAGAGAGACGCAUGAAGGUUAACAAUUUACACAAGGAAGGCAUAGCUCACAAGAGAUGAUCCAUGGAGGGUGCCACAAACACAAUGCACAACCGCUAAGAAAGGAAAGCUUCCACAAGAUGCUACUGUACCAUCACUCUUCAAGUAAGGUAACAUCUUAAGGUACUUGACUAUCACUUUUUAUAAGCUUCUCCUUGAUUCUGGCAUUCACAUGGAUAAAAGAGACAAACAUGUAUGAUUUACAACUCUAGAUUAACCAUCCCAAUCGAUUCAAUAUGUUUAGUCCUUCCACCGUUGUGAUCCCACACUCCUAAUCAUAUGAGCUAAAAUGUUGCACACGUAAUCUUUAGAAGAUAUAUAAAAAAGUAUAGAUAGAUUAUCUUUCCAUUAGGUUGAGCGAUCUGAUCUGACAAAUAUCUUAAAUGCUACACUCAUGAUCUUAUUAUCCAUCAACUUUGUCUUGCUCACUAUGCUUAAGGUUAGAGAAGAACAAAUACACUUUUGGUUCUGUUGGUGUUUUCCACCAACAGGGCCCAUGCACUUGAUCUCUGCCUUGUCUCUAUGAGCAGGUACACUUUGAGCAAAAUAUGAAGGACUUUUACAACUCCCAGACUCCACCAAGUGAAGAACCUGGAUUACGAGCACAAACACACUAGAGAUACUGGACACUCAGGUAAUCACUAGAGGCCUAACUAUUGAGUCAAGAGAGGCCUAGCUAUUGAGUCAAGAGAGGCGAUCCAGGACGCCCCGUCAUCCCGAUCUCUAUCGGCAUGGUGGACUUCCCAGAAGCACUCUGUGACUUUGGCUCCAGCAUUAUGCCUAGGGUAGUCUAUGAAAAAUUCUUUACACAUCCUUAGAAACAACCAUGUGUUUGCAGUUUGCAGAUCAGGCGUUAAGUUUCCCAAAGGGAAUAUUGAAGAACCUCUACGUCCGAGUUGGUACUUUAUAUGCUCCACUAGACUUCGUGGUGAUAGAGACUGAUACUGAUGAGAGGGCACCCAUCAUCCUAGGGAGGCCAUUCCUGAACACCUCGGGAGCUGUCAUCUAUGCUAGUGCUGCCAAGAUUAGUUUCUACAUCAAGGGGAAGAAGGAGACGUUUUCCUUCGAGAACACGACUACACAAAUCCCAGAGCAAUCCCGACAUGAACCAAGGAAGAGGACCAACAGGGGGAACAGGAACAAGCAAACGUAGACCGAGUCAGCUAAGAUGGUCACUGCAGUUCAAGGAUGUCAAGAUCGUCGACUUAAGUCACCGUUCCUGACCAAAAAGGACUGUUGACACCGUUUUUGGACACGUAUCCAGGAUCGGUAGGGUGUAGAUCGGCAAGAUAAAGCAACGGUAACUAGUCUGCAGGGGAGUUGCCGAUGAGGAAGAUUGUCGAUGAAGGGACGAUUGAGUAUGGCUAAGUCAGGGAGUGGGUGCGUUCCUAACCGAUGGUCAGCAUCAAUAUUUGCCGAUGGCGAUAGCAGGAAGAUUGCCGAUGGCCCCGCGGAGUUGCCGAUUGACCCAUGGCGGUGUCUUGGUCGAUCACGAGGGAAUAGUUUUGUGUUUUCCUUAGUUGUUUAGAUCGUUUUGUAUACGGAUCCUGUUUAAUGUGGAAUUCGAGUCAUAGUCAUGUCUGAUUGUAGCUCUUUGAGCAGGGUAUAAAUGUAGACCCUGGGGCCUUGUAGAAUAAUCAAUCAAUCAAACACAAGUUUCUAAUCAUAUUCCAGAAUCUACUUUUCGACGACUUCGUCAUAUUUUUUCUUUUUCAAUACGAGUUCUUAGGAGUUCGUCGACUUAAGCUCGGCGUAUUCUCGAGUUCCGCGUGAAUACCUCUUGGCUGUGGCAUCCGGGCGCAUCGCUGUUGUCGGGACCAAAGUAUUCGAGUUAUCACCUUUGCCGAUAGUAACGUCAAAUCGGCUGGCACGCCUUAACGUUUGAACCGGGUAUUAGCCCUUUGUGUUUGCAGAUCUAGCUUUUGCAUCAACACAUCUUUUGGCACGCCCAGUGGGACAACUAUUCAAGAUCAAGAUCGACAUGUCGACUACUGAGUUCGAUCAGGAGAACGUCAUCCCCGUGACGGAAGCCAAUCUCAAAGAUGAGCAGAAGCAAGUUAUUGCAAAAGCCAUGGAGGACUACAAGCAGCAAUGUUUGAGAUCCUUCAGCAUCAACAGGAGUGGUGAGGUGAUCCAGAAAGAAGCACUGCCGGCCCCUCGGCUGGAUACCUUUGAAGCCAAUCCUGGUAAACUCCAAGACAUGGUUGAUAGUGCUAUCAACCGUGCCUUGAUCAACCAAGCUGGUGUGCUGUCCAAUACGGUUUUCAUGGCUAGAACUUUCAAAGAAGGACAAUUGCCACCGAAUUACGUGGGCCCUGUCUACCAUCAGCCAGGAUCGACAGUGGUUACGGCUCCACCGGCUGCUACAGCCGCUGCGGGUACAGAAACUACUAUUCCUCUAAGCACGCUAGGAGUCUCUAAUGCGCAGUCCACGCCGAUGCCGUCUAAUCCAUCAACAUCAGAUGAAACGAUCAAGCUUACUACGGAUCUAUUGGCAUCGGCAAUGUCGGGAUACGUUCCUCCUAAUUGGUGGAGUUUUGGUAUGCCCCCGGAAUACUUGUUGAAGACACCUGGCACAUCUCAGGCAGCUGAUAUGAGAGGCAAGGCUCCUAUGGCAUCGGCACCUCCAAAUAUACCGAUGAAUCAGAGUCCCCAGUAUACUACAACUACUACUACAAGACCUUACACUGGGAAUUCUCAAGCUCCAACGUUCCAGGUGCCUAACGCAUCGGUAGAUUCAAUGCUGACGCAACAGAGGUUCAUGACUCAGCCAGGGUAUGUCAAUUCAAUGAUGAUGCCCAAUUACCAGUCAUCGGCAGGUCCCAUGCUGAUGAACGCUAAUAGUGGAUGGCCUGAGCAGCAAGUCUUUCCACAAAUGUCCCAACAGAAUCAUCAGGCUACAGGGUUUCAACAAGGCCAGAUCUACCCCGGGUUCUAGAAUCAAGGGUUGCCUAAUCAACCGAUGAAUCUCGGCCAGCAGAUUGGUGGUCAGUAGUUUGGUGGUCAACAUCUUGGUGGUCAACGGAUCGGCGGUCAGCAGAUUAGUGGCCAAAUGAUUAACCCAAUGUUCCAUGCAGAUCGUGCACCGCACAGACACGUGGAAGCCUAUCAGCUGGUGCCAGAUCCGCAACCGCCUCAUCGGCAAGAUGCCGAUGCUUAUUGGGCCAAUAAGAUUGCUGAAGUAAUGAGAGAUCAAUUUGGGAUUAAACCCAAAGUCAAUACUUACUCUUAUCGAACACCGUAUCCUCCUGCAUACGAUUUAAUCCCACUUCCAAAUCGGUACAAGGUACCAGAUUUCACCAAGUUUUCUGGUCAGGAUGAUACAUCAACUAUGGAGCAUGUCAACAGGUUCAUCAUCCAAUGUGGAGAAGCUGCUAACAGGGAUGAGUUAAGGGUUCGGUUGUUCUCGUCGUCAUUAUCUGGAUCGGCAUUCACCUGGUUUAUAUCGUUACCUCCCAACUCAGUGAUUACUUGGGCCGAUCUAGAGAAGCAAUUCCACAAGUACUUCUUUUCUGGAGUCCAUGAGAAGAAGAUCACUGAUUUGGUUAAAUUGAAGCAACGCAACGAUGAAUCGGUUGAAAGUUUUGUGCAGAGAAUAUGGGAAGUCAAGAACAAAUGCUAUAGUCUGGUUUUGGAUGAUCGGCAGCUAGCCGAUUUAGCUUUCCAGGGUUUGUUGCCACAUAUCAGGAACAAAUAUGCAUCUCAAGAGUUCGAAAGCUUAAGUCAUUUGGUGUAGAGAAUUUCUGAUCAAGAUGUCAGGCCUUUUGAGCCCAAGAGAGCAUGGAACAAAAAUGUAUCAUUUGUGGACGAAGCAGCAAGCUCAGACUCUGAUGAGGAACCAGUCAUCGGCUUGGCAGAAUGGGUAAAAAAUAAGAAGCCGAUGUUUUGCCCUUUUGGGCACAAAGAACCGGAGAAGUUCGCAUUUGACAUCACCAAAGCCGAUAGAAUAUUUGACUUUCUACUUCAGGAAGGUCAGAUCAAAUUGUCACCCAAUCAUGUAAUCCCAUCGGCUGAAGAAUUAAAGAAGAUGAAGUAUUGCAAAUGGCACAAUGCAACUUCUCACAGCACCAAUGAGUGCAAAGUUUUUAGACAACAGCUGCAAUCGGCUAUAGAAUCUGGGAGGAUCAAAUUUGAUAGCUCUAAAACUCAGAAGCCGAUGAAGAUUGAUCAACAUCCUUUCCCAACAAACAUGUUGGACGCAAAGGGAAAGGCCAAGGUCUUGACAUCGGAGGCAGCUGAAAGAAGUGCAUCGGUGGAUCCUCAGCAUCAGAUUACCACUGCCGAUGCAAAAGGGAAAGGCUUAAUCCAGGAAGGAAAUAGCUCAGGAAGGCCUCCUCGAUCUGGUAUUGUGAUAACUCAUAGAAGGCCUCGGGAGACUUGGCAGCAACGUGAGGAUCGGUAUCGGCGCCAGCAAGAAGACUAUCAUCGGGAAGAAGAAAGACGCCGACAAGAGUGGAAUCGGCAUAGGGAUCACUAGAAUUGUCCGUUCUUCAUCCAUUGUUGGGAGGAAAAUAUCAAGCUUCCUACUGUCAGAGACUGCCCGGAAUGUAAUGGUUAUGAUCGGUAUGACAGAUCAAAUCAGCAGUAUCAGAACGAUAACCGCCGGCUUGAUGGGCCGAUUAGGGGGAGAGCGUCGGUUCAUGAUCGGCUGGGGGGCAGGCUCAGCGUGCAUGAUAGGCUUGGUGACCGUGUUGAAUACUUUCCUAAGAACCAAGAAGAACUUGAGGAGAUGGCUAAUGCACGAGUUCCCGAUGAGUUCAUAUUUUGCAGGGAUGUCAAUACUUAUCGGAUGGAGUCAAGGGAAAAUCGUCGCCCAUCGGUAAAGCAGCAGCAACUUCCUCCAUGGUGUCCAGAAGGGUUGACUAGGACACAGAAAAUGAGGCUGCAACGCGAAAGAUGAGAAGAGUUGAGCAAGGGCGAGAACUCUGGCCAGUCUGGGGAUCAGCAACAAUCAGAUCCUAAAGGAAAAGGUCCAUCGACAGAUGUCAACAUGGUAUCUAUGUUGCCGAUGGAAUUCCUUGCGCCGUCCAGUGAUGAUGAGUUGGAGUUUUCUGACCAAAUAGCUCAGUUGGCUCUAGACCCGACGACAGCCAUUUUCGAAAAGCCUGCCGAUGAUGAAAGGCAACAUCUUAAGGCCCUGUUUGUCAAAGGAAGAGUGGAUGGUCAGCCGAUGACCAAGAUCUUCAUUGAUGGUGGAGCUGCUAUCAAUAUCAUGCCAUAUGCAGUGUAUCGGAAGCUUGGAAAAGGAGAUCAAGAUUUGACCAAGACCGAUAUGAUGCUCAAAGACUUUGAAGGGAAUGUGUCUCCGGUUAAGGAAGCCAUCUGUGUUGAAUUGACUAUCGGCAGCAAGACCUUGCCGACAACUUUCUUUCUGAUUAGUGGUAAAGGUGCUUAUAAUCUACUGCUAGUGAGAGAUUGGAUUCAUGCCAAUUGUUGCAUACCAUCAACAAUGCACCAAUGCUUGGUCCAGUGGGUAGGUGACAAGAUCGAAAUUGUCCCCGGAGAUUCUUCCUAUGUUAUUGCAUCGGCAGAGGCAGAUACCUACAAAAGAACUAGGUGUAUUUCAGGAGAAGUUUGGGAAAAGGAUUUCCUCAAAGUCGCCGAUUAUGAAAUUCCACCGAUCCAAGCAGUCGGUUCUGAUGAAGAGUUUUAAUGGAUAGGUUCGCCAAUGAUGGAAAAUUAGGCCAGGGAUUCACAUCGGCCGAUGAUUUAGUAGAAGUGGAUAUAGGUAGUGGUGAUAAACCUAGGCCUACUUUUAUUAGUGCUAAAUUAAAUUCUGAGUGUAAGCAACAGUUAACUGAUUUGUUAAAGGAAUAUAAAGAUUGCUUUGCUUAGGAUUAUACUGAGAUGUCUGGUUUAGACCGAUCAAUUGUCAAACAUCGGUUGCCUAUCAAGUCUGGAUUUCGGCCACAUCAACAGCCAGCUCGCCGGUGUAAUCCUAAUAUCCUUCCUGAUAUUAAGGCCGAAAUAACUAAGCUUAUUGAAGCUAAAUUUAUUCGGCAAUGUCGGUAUGCCGAAUGGAUUUCCAAUGUUGUUCCAGUUUAUAAGAAAAAUGGGAAGCUUCGAGUUUGCAUUGAUUUUAGGAAUCUUAAUAAAGCUACGCCGAUGGAUGGUUAUCCAAUGUCGGUUGCCGAUCUACUGGUUGAUGCUGCAGCUGGACAUCGGAUCAUCAGCUUUAUGGAUGGCAAUGCAGGAUACAAUCAAAUAUUCAUGGCUGAAGAGGAUAUUACAAAGACUGCAUUUAGAUGUUCUGGUCAUGUUGGGCUAUUUGAGUGGAUAGUCAUGACCUUUGGCUUGAAAAAUGCCGGUGCUACUUAUCAAAGGGCCAUGAAUUUUAUCUUUCACGAGUUCAUCGGCAAGCUGGUAGAAAUCUAUAUUGAUGAUGUGGUAUUUAAGUCUGGAGACUUCACAAAGCAUCUUGCCAAUUUGCGAAAGGUGUUAGAAUGCACAAGGAAGCAUGGUUUAAAGAUGAAUCCCAAUAAGUGUGCAUUUGGUGUAUCGGCAGGACAAUUCCUUGGUUUCAUGGUGCAUCAAAGGGGGAUUGAAAUUAGUUGGAGAUCCAUUGAUGCUAUCAACAAAAUAGUUGCUCCUACCAACAAGACUGAGCUCCAAUCCUUGAUCGGCAAGGUAAAUUUUAUCAGGAGGUUCAUAUCUAAUUUGUCUGGUAGAAUUCGUGCUUUCAGUCCUUUACUUAAGUUGAAAGCCGAUCAAGAAUUCGUUUGGGGGAAGGAACAACAGUUGGCCUUAGAUGAAAUCAAGGAUUAUUUAGUAGAUCCUCCGGUUUUGAUUCCACCUCAGCAAGGAAAUCCCUUCAGAUUAUAUUUGUCUACCGAAGGGAUGGUCAUCGGUUCGGCUUUAAUUCAAGAAUUUGAGGGGAAAGAACUUGUGAUUUAUUAUUUAAGCAGGCGGUUGGUUGAUGCUGAGACCAGGUAUUCGACUAUUGAAAAGUUGUGUUUGUGCCUAUAUUUCUCAUGUACUAAAUUGAGGCAUUAUUUAUUAUCUGCCGAAUGCACUGUCAUUUGCAAAGAUGAUGUGGUCCGAUACAUGCUAUCUAUGCCGAUCAUGAGCGGUAGAAUCGUUAAGUGGAUUUUGGCACUGUCGGAGUUCGAUUUGCGUUAUGAAUCGGCUAAGGCGGUUAAGGGACAGAUUAUGGCCGAUUUUGUAACUCAGCAUUGUGGUACAGUGGAGACUUUGGAAAUUAUACCUUGGACACUCUUCUUUGAUGGAUCCACGUGUGACCGGGGGGCAGGAAUCGGCAUAGUGUUAAUUUCCCCUCGGGGAAGGAAGUACGAGUUUUCCUUGCCGAUUGUUGCUACGUCGACAAAUAAUCAAGCUGAGUAUCAAGCUUUGAUAAAAGGGCUGGAAUUACUAAGGGAAGUUCAUGCUGAUGCUGUUGAAAUCUUUGAAGAUUCUAUGCUGGUUAUAAAUCAAUUGGCUGGGAGCUAUGAAUGCCGAAGUGAGGUUUUGAUAACUUAUCACGAGAGGAGUAUGCAACUGUUAAAGGAAUUCAAGGAUUUCUGAUUAGAGCAUGUUCCUCGGUUGCAUAAUGAAGAGGCCAAUCGGUUGGCUCAGUAUGCCUCGGGAUAUCAGCCCAUGAUAAACGUAAUAUCGGCAAUCGGUGCCGAUGAUUGGAGAAAGGAAAUCAUUGAUUAUUUAAAGGAUCCAUCCAAGAAAGUUGAGAGACGUAUUCGUUUUCAAGCCACCAAGUAUGUGCUCCUCGAAGAUGAGUUAUAUUAUCGAACAAUUGAUGGAGAUCUUCUCAAAUGCUUAGGUGAUGAUGAGGCUAAAAAUUUAAUGGGAGAAAUCCAUGAAGGAGUAUGUGGAGCACAUCAGUCGGCUUUUAAGAUGCAGUGGAUGAUUAGGAGGAAUGGGUAUUAUUGGCCUACCAUACUUGAAGAUUGUUUUAAAUAUUUCAAGGGGUGUCAAUGAUGUCAGAAAUUUGGCAAUGUUCAAAGAGCACCCGCAUCGGCCAUGAAUCCUAUCAUCAAACCUUGGCUGUUCCGAGGAUGGGCUAUUGACUUGAUCGGCCAGAUUUAUCCGCCAUCCAGCAAGGGACAUAAGUUUAUCUUAGUUGCCACUGAUUAUUUCACCAAAUGGGUUGAAGCUAUUCCUUUAAAGAAAGUUACAUCGGCCAACAUGAUCGAUUUUGUGAAAGAGCAUAUUAUUUACCGAUUUGGAAUUCCUCAAACAAUUACUACCGAUCAGGGUACUAUGUUCACAUCAGGGGAGUUUGAUGAAUUUGCAAUCGGUAUGGGAAUUAAGGUAUUAAACUCUUCUCCUUAUUAUGCUCAAGCUAAUGGACAGGCCGAGGCAUCUAACAAAGGAAUUAUCAAGCUUAUUAAGCGGAAGAUUGAAGAAAAUCCUAGGAGGUGGCACACGUUGUUAAAUGAAGCUUUAUGGUCAUACCGGAUGGCUUGUCAUGGAUCGACUAAGGUUUCACCUUAUCAGUUGGUAUAUGGGCAUGACGCAGUGUUACCUUGGGAAAUUAAGACUGGGUCUAGGCGACUAUCUUUUCAAGACCAGUUGGCUGCCGAUGAUUAUGCUGCUUUAAUGACAGACGAGUUGGAUGAUCUAGCAGGGCAUCGGCUAAAGGCUUUGAUGAGUAUAGAAGAGAAUAAGAAGAGAGUUGCCAGAUGGUAUGAUAAGAAGGUGAAGGCUAAGGAGUUUGCUGAUGGAGACUUAGUAUGGAAGCUAAUCUUACCGAUCGGGACUAAAGUUCAAAAUUUGGGAAGUGGUCUCCCAAUUGGGAGGGUCCCUAUCGGAUAAGUCGAUCGGCCCCUGGUAACGCCUAUAUUUUAGAAACUCUUGAAGGAGUUGAAUUUCCCAGAGCAUUAAAUGGCAAAUAUCUAAAGAAGUAUUACCCAAGCAUAUGGGUCGAUGCAUAAAAGUUUAAGUGCCAAUAACAUUCCUAUCGGCUGGAUCAAAAUGUAUCUGGGGCCGGAUUUAAUGUUUUAAGAGGUGCCGAUAACAAUCCUAUUGGCUAGACCAAAAUAUCAGAAGAGUUGGGAAGGAGAGAGCGAGGAUGUUGCUGAUGAAGAUUUCACACGUUUAACAAUGCCUGGAUAGUCGAUAUAGCGCGAAGAUGGAUCUGGUUGGCUUCCUCUAUUUCCUUCAUGUCAUCAUCGGCAGAGCCCUCCAAUGGCUUCAGCUUUUUCUUCAUCUGUAGCGCUCUGCGGCCAUGGACAUUUCGCUCUUGUUCGAGAAGUUUGAUCACCUCAGGCAGCUCGCUUUCCUCUUGCUGGGCUUGAGACGAGGCUUCUUCUACUUGCUUGAGCUCUGCCAACAGAGCCUCUCUUUUUGCCGACAGAUCAGAGAUCUUGUGUUUCAGUACAUCUCCUGAGGACUUCAGGAUGCCGAUAUUCUUGUGCUUCUCAUCGGCAAGGAGCUUCACUUUCAUCAUUUCCUUGGAAAGCUGAGCCUGAGCAGCUCUGUCGGCAAGACGCCGGGUAGCCUUUUGAUAUUGCAGCUGACGGCUCUCUAAAUGUGCAGCUUGAAAGAGGAUUUCUUCGGCAUCGGUAGGAAUUUGGCCUCUGAGGGUCUUGAACAAGGCCUUGGCCGGAUCGGAAUCAUCAACCAGUUGGGCUGUGUCUUGAUGGAGGAGGGCUGACAAUUCUUCUAACUUGGCUCUGAUUUCUGCCGAUGUGAUUCCAAUUGUUCAAGAAGAGCUUGCCUCCUCGCCUUCAUCUUCAGAAAUGUCGAUGGCCAAGGAGAACAAACUGUUAGGGGAGUCCUGUUCCUAAAAAGGAAGUAAAAUAAGUUAUUUCAUGAUCAAGUGUUGAUAAAUAAUGCAGAUAGGAAUUGGGUGACUUACUUGUUUCAGGGCAAUCUCUCACCUCUGACUAGAGGAUGCCGAUGGAAUCACGGGCUGAUCGGCUGGGUUUGCCGAUGGAACUAUGUCAGCUGAAAGAUUAACAGAGAUUAUGAUGCAGGAAAAGUAGGUUCAUCAGCAAAGAUUUCAUAGAGAGUAUGUUACCUUGAGGGGGAGCAGUACUUGUUUGGAUUGAGGAAACCACCGAUGCUAUAAUUGAACUUGAUGGAUCGGCAGUUUGCUCGUGCACGUCAGCCGAUGUGUCUUCUGGUUGAGGUUCCUCCGGUUGGGGUUCUUCUGCGUGAGGUUCUUCUUGUGGUAGAGGAGAAGGUAUCUAUUGUGUCUAGACUUCUGGAGAAGAAGGAGAAGAUUCCACCGGGAUCGGUGAUAUUGGAGGAGGAGAGGGCACUGCUGUUCUCUAGCGUUUUGCUUGGGUUCCGGUACUCUUGGUACCUUUUCUCUUCGGUUGACUGGACUGGGGAGCAUCGGCACUUGUGCUUCUGGUCCUUGCCGAUGCGCCGGUGUGGUGAUACAACAAUGAGAAUUCAUGAGUACAGGAGUAACAGAUGUAAGAAUGGAAUCGGUAUGGAUGAAAGAGUUUGAAAAUUUACCUUGAAGGCCUGUGCUAAAGUAGAGGCAACUACCGAUGGAGAUGCCUUUGUCCUUUUGGUGGUGACUUUCUUGAGGCGCACACCUCGAUGCAUUAUGGCAGCUAAGGUAGGAGCAUUGUUGCCGAUCGAGGAGAUUGGACCUGAUGAAAAAAGCUCAAUCGGCUUGCCACUCCUACUGACCGAAGGCGGUGUGUCGUCAACCUGUAAUAUAAUGCAGAAAGUAAGUUACCGAUGAAAAUGAAAAUAAAAAGAUUGGAGCAUCGGUUUGGAAAUACUUACAGUAUUGUCGGGGACUUUGUACAGGGGUCGAUCAUGCCACGGUACGUGAGAGCCGAUUUGCAGAACAAGUGCUCCUUCCAUUCUUCCAACCAUUGUUUGUACGCCUGAGUAAUGAAGAGGGCCGGAAUCCACUCUGAUAGAUCUGCAUCUGUACCGGCACUCAGUGGCAGUUGAGCUAUCCUGGUCCACUCAAGAAGACUGGUGAUGGUUUCCCUGGGUUUUAUCACAUCGGCAUAACAAAGCGCAAUCGGCAGCUGACCGAAAGCUAGUUGACGGGCUAAUGCCGAUGGGUUGUAAAAUUCAUAGGUCUGGUUAGAAGCUUUCCCACUGCCGAAGAAGUUUACUGGUAUGGCUCUUGGAGUGAUAAGUGCCAUCAUCACAUCAUGAUCUUUAUUAAGAGCAUCGUUGAACGGAUGAAAGACCAAAGGAAACAUGGUGUCUGGAUCUUCAUAAGGCAUCCAUGCUCGUUGUUCUCUGGUCAGGCCUUUGUACAGGGUCUGGAAGAAUCGGCUAACCUGGUCUGCAUUACCACCUGUACUGGGUAGAACUAUGGUAGCCUCUGUUGAUAUUUGGUAACACAAUAAGGAAAUGAUCCGCAAGCGCACGGGUAUCGGUGAGCAUUUCACCCGGGAGGUUUUCCAGAGUAUCGUAUUUAUAUUUUUACCACUGCGAGAAAGGGUGCAUCUGACUAACCAAAUCUAUUGCUACUAUCCCUUUAGGCUACAAAGAAUGUUUCUCGAUGUGAGUGAUGUAUAGAGAAGUCUGCAACCGUAGUCUCGUUCUAACCUUGGUAAGGAUGAUCUACUGUUCUAUUGGGGAAGCUUACGGAAUCUAGACACCACAAAGGAUGUUCAACCCGCACCUAUAAACCUACCCGUCCUGCUAACAAGAUAUGGGAUACAAAGGUAACUCGAAAAUGUCAUGUUCCUCGCUACUACCACGGUCCAGCUAGUCAGGGGAUAUCUAUGAGUACCCUAGCCUAAACACCACGUUUAUGCUAGCAAUGAUUACUCUAAUACUCAACCGGAAGAGGAUUAAAGUAAACUCAUAAACCAAAGAACAAUAAAACAAGAACUUACUAGAAUUAGAAGUCGAAUUACUGAAGAAUCUUAGAAGCAAGCCUCGGGUUAGAAGACUUGAUCCCGCAGGUACAACUCGGAGUAGACACCGACAGGCCGGCCUUCCUCCGAUCUACACCUCCACUCUAUCUCUCUCGAUCUAGUAGAAACUAGAAGAUCUAUUUCUACUUUACAUUGGAUGCUAAGCAUAAAAAGAAAUAUUAUUUAGAGAAGAGGUUUUCCUUCGAGGGUACCCCUCAAUCUCUAUGAUAACUUCUUGUCUUCUCCAGGGGCGAGGGGGGUCUCCUUAUAUAGUCCUCCUCCUCUAUGCAUUUUUGGGUCGGUAGGCGAUGUGGUACUACGUUAUCCUUGAUCCUUUAGGUCGGUGGAACAUCGUGUGCGAAGAGAGUCCUGAACGGAGUCUAGGACAGGGUGGGCGCCCAGGGAAAGAGGGCGGGCGCCCUGGGCCUGGCCCCUUUCGGCCUCUGCUUUCUUCCCGUGGCUUCUGGAGUCUUCUAGAUGGUAGAAAAUUGUGCGGUGUGUUGAUAUCUCUAUGUAAUCCCGACAUGUGGGCCUUUCUUCCUUAUUUCCUGAUAACCCCCUGCAGAAAUAGACAAACACCAAAACUCAUGGAAUUCUGUCAGAUAAAACCCUAAGUCUGGAUGUUGGUUGUAUUUGGAUCAUUUUCUUUAUUUAUUUGAUGAUUAUAUUUGGUACUUAAGGACCGUCAACAACUCCCCGAAGCUUACCUCUUGCUCGUCCCUGAGCAAGGAUGAACUCAAGAGUUUCUGCAGUGGUUUCAUGCCUUAAAAGUACACACACAUUCAAACAAGAUCUCAUCUCUGAGUUAGAAUAAACUGUUAAGACUUAAAACUUACUCAUUUUACCUUUCACCAUGGGGCUUGUAACCGUCACUUGUGUCUUGAGCAGUUAAAAGAUAGAACGGUCAAGUCAAGCGCCAUGUCUCUUAUUCUUGAUCAGCUAUAGCUCUGGAGUUUUUGCAGAUUUUCAAAUAAGACUCAGAGAUUCCUUGUAUGACUCUCUCAAAUCUCUCUUUUGUGGUAUUUCUAGAUCCUUUCCAAGGCAGUAAUGGUAUAUGCCUUCUCUCAAAGUAUGUGGUAUUUUUGGUAUAAGGCAUAGUGAUAUUGCCUUCUCUCUCACCCUACUCUAAUAAGGUUUUGAUAUCUGGAGCUCAUAGGUGGGAUACAGCUAAUACAUACUUACAAGACAUUUAUUGCAUAGUCAAACCAUGGAUCCAGAGAAACAAGUCAAUAAGUCAAAUCAAGAUGUGCAUGUGUGGCGAAUGAAUAGUGUAUGGUGAUGAUGGUGAUAACAAUGGUGAAAGUCUAAUUCUAUGUUUGCUCUUUUAAGGGGAUACAUACCUUUCUUGCACUUUGAAGCUUUUUGAGGAUAAUGAGAUGCUCUGUAUUUUCUUUUUCUUUUUCUCUCAGGUGGGUAUCUUGUACCCCUAAUUCUACUGUCGGACACUUGUCCAUUUUUACCUCUCGUCUCACUUUUUCUUUUCUUCGAGGUUCCGGGCACUUGCCCCUUUUUAUUUCCUCGUAUUAUAUUUUUUUUCUCUCUUUUUUUUAGAGCACUCAUCUCCUGAAAGAAUGUAGCAAGUGGUAGUAACCAAAAUAACUGGAGCAUUUAUUUCACAGGGAAUAACAAGGAUAGGAAAAUGUUUUUGGCUAUUCUCUCCCGGAUUAGGAGUAGAAUAAUUUUGGUUGAAUCUAGAGAUGGAAAUGAGUGGAUGUAUGUGGAUGCGUAGUUCUGGAGUAGAAGCAGCAUAUACGAGUGAACAUGUAAGUGAAUCUUGAUUUUAACCACAUGACAAGCUCCUAAGGGUCUACACAGCUUGACCACACUCAAUGCUCAUAAGCAGUAAAAAGUAAAUGUUUGGCUCAAAGUCUAAUAAGCAUGUAUAUAUGGAUGUGGUAGGAUUUUAAACUCUCAUCAUACAAGAACUCAUCAUGUGAUAUUUUAAAGAUUUUUCAAAGAUAAAAUUCUCCAAAAUUCUAGCAUCUCUAGGAACAGAUAAACAGCAGCUCAAUCUUCCCAUAUCAUAUCCGUUAACAACAUAGACUUUAGAUCAAGUACUUUUCCCACAAGUUCAGGUUUAGAGCACGCUUUGAAUUAUAACAGUUAUGCCUAAACUUGAGAGAGAUUUCAAUUUUAAUAACUAGUCAUAGCAGAGCAACUAUUCAUCAUUUCCAUGUGAGAGUUUAUCAUGAGGGUUCAUAUCAAACUUUAUUUAUUUAUUUAUUUAGCAAACUAAGCAAAGAUAUAUAUAUAUAAAAGCACAAAAUCUUUAUUUGGGUUUUCAUGAUUAUGCAUUUUUUAUUUGAGUAAAGUAUAAACGCGAGUAGAAACACUUAGCUGGAUAAAUGGGGGUGCUCUCCCCCAAGCUGGAUUUUGACAUAAUUUCUUCUGAUGUAGCUAGCAGGUGAUGGAGGUGUAUUUGAAAGUCGGCAGCACCCUGACAGCGAUUAGGAUGUCCUCCGUCUGCUAGUCUUCUUUCAUCCUUGAAUUCUGUGGAGCUUAAAUAGACAACAAAGCUUUGUGGAACUGGUUAAGUGUUAGCAUAAAUAUCUAGCCUUUAUCAUGUUGAGCCUCCUCAAUAAAUGUUACUUAUUUAGCAGGAUCAUGCACUUAUUAUUUUUAUAUUUUUAUUGUAAGUUGAAAACUUAUUUAUUUUAUUUUUAUGCCACCACAGUGAAUGUACUUAUGGGUUUUAUGCAUGAGCAUACUCACAUGGGGCUUACUAUUUUUAACAUUUUUAUUUUCUUUUCAAGAUAGCAUGAACCGGAUUAACUAAGCAAACUAUUGAAUGGAAAAGGAUAACUACCAAGUUUACCUCUUGGCAAGGCGUUCGGUAUUUUUAAGUCCUCCGAACGGGACUCUCCGUUUUCUCAGUCGUCCUGGGAUUCGCUGGAUGGCGUAGUCGGUGGUUCCGGCGGCGCUUCCUCUUCGUGUGUAACUAUCUUCUCUCUCCACACCUGACUCGGUGCUAUGGUCUCCUCAGGACAGUUCUGUUCAAGCUAUAUGUCUUCAGACCUUAUCACUUCUCCUUCGUAGUCUACCCAUCCGUCCUUGAUGAUUUGCCUCCUCUGGUUGCGGUUGCGUUGUCUUCUUCUUGUCUUGACCUGCUUAGAGUUUUGAUAGUGUUGAGGAAUGGUCUUCCAAGGAUGAUGGGUGGAUCGUACUCGUCUUCUCACAUGUCAAUGAUCUGAAAGUCAUCUGGAGCUGAAUAUAUAUUGGUUGUAGGGGCAUGGUUCCAUGCAGGAGCUGAUAAGUGACUGCGGCCAUUAUGUUGACGUUAGAUCCGGUGUCGUAGAGUGCCUUCUAAAAAGAGUAUCUGUUGAUUGUGCACUCAAUGCUUGGAACACCAGGGUCAUCCUUCUUGAUAAAGAAAGGUGACUUGAGUCGACGAUCUUGACCUCCUUCGACAAGGAUCCAAAGUUUUAAAUCUUCUAGACAAGACUUCUCACUGUCUUCAUCCUUUAGGUGCAUCAUUUGAUUAGGUGUGGACCUUGACGUCUGCACUUCUUGAUAUCGUGUCACCUAUAUUCUUUGAUUGCCCAGCAGUUCGAAGUGCGGUGUUGGCAAUAUCCUGCUCAGUGUGUGUGUGCUCAUAGAUCCAGGUCCUUCAUUUGGUGGAGUCUGGGAGUUGUAAAACUCCUCCAUGUUUUGCUUGAAGUGUACCUGUUCAUAGAGACAAGACAGAGAUCAAGUCCAUGUGCCCUGUUGGUGGAAAACACCAACAGAACCAGAAGUGUAAUUGUUCUUCUCUAACCUUAAGCAUAGUGAGCAAGACAAAGUUGAUGGAUCAUGAGUGUAGCAUUUAAAACAUUUGCCAGAUCAGAUUCCUUGACCUAAUGGAAAGAUAAUCUAUCUAUAUAUAUAUUGUUUAUAUCUUCCAAAGAUUGAAUGUGCAACAUAUUAGCUUAUAUGAUUAGGAGCGUGGGAUCACGAAGGUAGUACUAAGAACACAGAGCAAAGGACUAAACAUGCUGAAUCAGUUGGGUUUGUUAAUUUGGAGCUACAAAUCAUACAUGUUUGUCUCUUUAUUUAUGUGAAUGUUAGAACCAAGGAGAAGCUUAUAAAAGCAAUAGUCAAGUACCUUAAGAUGUUACCUUACUUGAAGAGUGAUGGAAUAGUAUCACCUUGUGGAAGCUUUCCUUUCUUAGCGGUUGUGCAUCGUGUUUGUGGCACUCUUCAUGGAUCAUCUCUUAUGAGCUACGUCUUUCUUGUGCAAAUUGUUAAACUUCAUGUGUCACUUUCUUCAUCUCCAAUGUGAGUUUAUCUCAGGACUUCCCAGGUUGAUAUUGAAAGUUUCCUGCAGGGGUUAGUCUCACAAAAUAUACCAAUAUCUACUCAAGCAGUUUUUAGUUCAGUAACCAAACUAGACUCCAUGUCUAAUCAGAUUAAGGAAGGCUAUUUAACCUAAGCACCAUGCUUAAUUUAAAUGCCAAUGGAAGUAUGUCGAGUACUUCCAAACCAACACUUGCUAGUAAAUAGAUAAAGGUAGCAUGACAGCAUUCAUAGAGAUCUACUCAAGUGGAGAUGAAGUAGUGUGAUUAGUACUUAACAAAUUGAGCAUGUCUCAAAGGUAGGGACAACAAACAUAGCAACAUGGCAAAGGAUGUUUUUAUGUAAAGUACUCCCCCAAGCUUGAAUUUUGCAAAAUUCAAGUUUGGAUGAAUUUAAUUCAAUGUUGUAUGAUGGUUGGUUGGACAUACCUUGUGCUUGUCAUUCAUCCGAUCUUCUUGCUCCAAUCCUGGAAAGGUUAGUGGCAAGAAUACCCGAAGGAAUAUUUCUACAAUUAUCUCAAUAUGCUCAAUACACGAUACAAUGUUGCAAAUUCAUGUUACGAUCUGAUAAGUCCUUGUUUAAGGACGCUAAGCUUAUCUUUGGGAAACCAUCAAAUUAUGUCAGCGAAGUGGUUUCCCCUCUAACACUGACCUAUAUCAAGAUCAACUCAACGAGAUCUGCAAUAUUUAUUAUAGACAUAUGCAUCGACAACCGCUCUUUUAAAGUUUUUAUAAAUAGAAAAGAAGAGGGGGUUGGAGAUCUCAAAUGUGGUGAUGUUGGAGAGACCAAUUGAUUGGGGAGAUAUUUUAUAUGAGCAAGGACUUGGUGAGGUAUUUAUGAAAUAACUUCCAUGCUCACUGUUGUUUCUCUCAUUCUCAAACUCCAAGGAUGAUUCUUCAUGAAUGCUUAAAAUUCCUCUAGGAUUGUCUCUCAAGUUUGUUUUAUCUAUCCAUUCAAUGGUGAUAGCACAUAGAUUUUUAAUGCCCUCUAGCCAUUGAUGCUGCUCUUCUCGAUCCUCCUUGUAGUCUUGGUGACUCUUAUGAAUGGGAUGUCUAGAUAGAUUCAUAGGAUUAUCGGGAGGUUCAAGAGAAAGAGCGUAGUAGAAAUUAUUAGGCUCAAGGAUGGGUUUGAUAGCCGAAUCAUGGGAUUGAAGUGUUUGGAAAUUGGCUAUUGAAUCUUCCUUUCCUUGUCUGGGAGAUGAUUCCUUCUGUAUCCCUAAGAUUUUUCUAUGAAGACUAGUAUAAGAAGGAUGUCCAUGAAUGAAGACAUACCUUCCUUUACUAAUAGAUAAAGAAAGAGAGACUCUACCAAUGGUUAUAUAAUUAAGACCAAUGUGAAAAUAUCGAGAAAAAACAUGGUCUUGUAGGGCUAGGUCUGAACCAGAAUUUAUAGAAAGAUUAACAGAUUCCCUAGGUGUAGCUAAAAGUGCAUUAUCUUCUUGAUUAAAAGAUAGGACCUCGGCUAUAGAAAAGGGUUGGUUUUGACCUAUUGCAAUCAACACCGGGCACAAAUCAUAAUUAGGGGCAGGACUUGUUGACACCCAUGGUAUAUGGCUGGUCUCCGAAGGUGCAAAGAAUUCAAUAAUAGGUAUGGAAUUUAAGUUAUCCAUAAAGAUAAAAAUAAAAAGAUAAAAGAAUAAAAGUAUAAAAGUAUAAUACAAGAUAAUAGCAAGACUCAAAGUUAUCUCAACAAACCAUCUUUCUCCUCGGCAACGGCGCCAGAAAUGCUUGUUGAUAUUUGGUAACACAAUAAGGAAAUGAUCCGCAAGCGCACGGAUAUCGGUGAGCAUUUCACCCGGGAGAUUUUCUAGAGUAUCGUAUUUAUAUUUUUACCACUGCGAGAAAGGAUGCAUCUGACUAACCAAAUCUAUUGCUACUAUCCCUUUAGACUACAAAGAAUGUUUCUCGAUGUGAGUGAUGUAUAGAGAAGACUGCAACCGUAGUCUCGUUCUAACCUUGGUACGGAUGAUCUACUGUUCUAUUGGGGAAGCUUACGGAAUCUAGACACCACAAAAGAUGUUCGACCCGCACCUAUAAACCUACCCGUCCUUCUAACAAGAUAUGGGAUACAAAGGUAACUCGGAAAUGUCACGUUCCUCGCUACUACCACGGUCCAGCUAGUCAGGGGAUAUCUAUGAGUACCCUAGCCUAAACACCAUGUUUACGCUAGCAAUGAUUACUCUAAUACUCAACCGGAAGAGGAUUAAAGUAAACUCAUAAACCAAAGAACAAUAAAACAAGAACUUACUAGAAUUAGAAGUCGAAUUACUGAAGAAUCUUAGAAGCAAGCCUCGGGUUAGAAGACUUGAUCCCGCAGGUACAACUCGGAGUAGACACCGACAGGCCGGCCUUCCUCCGAUCUACACCUCCACUCUAUCUCUCUCAAUCUAGUAGAAACUAGAAGAUCUAUUUCUACUUUACUUGGAUGCUAAGCCUAAAAAGAAAUAUUAUUUAGAGAAGAGGUUUUCCUUCGAGGGCACCCCUCAAUCUCUAUGAUAACUUCUUGUCUUCUCCAGGGGCCAGGGGGGUCUCCUUAUAUAGUCCUCCUCCUCUAUGCUUUUUUGGGUCGGUAGGCGAUGUGGUACUACGUUAUCCUUGAUCCUUUAGGUCGGUGGAACAUCGUGAGCGAAGAGAGUCCCGAAUGGAGUCCAGGAGAGGGCGGGCGCCCAGGGAAAGAGGGCGGGCGCCCUAGGCCUGGCCCCUUUCAGGCUCUGCUUUCUUCCCGUGGCUUCUGGAGUCUUCUAGAUGGUAGAAAAUUGCGCGGUGCGUUGAUAUCUCUAUGUAAUCCUGACAUGUGGGCCUUUCAUCCUUAUUUCCUAAUAACCCCCUACAGAAAUAGACAAACACCAAAACUCGUGGAAUUCUGUCAGAUAAAACCCUAAGUCUGGAUGUUGGUUGCAUUUGGAUCCUUUUCUUUAUUUAUUUGAUGAUUAUAUUUGGUACUUAAGGACCGUCAACAGCCUCGCCAAAAUUUAGAGGACGUCGAGUUGCCGAUUCCUCUUCAUCCAAUUCACAAUUCUCGGCUAUGUCCCUGGGAAAGCGUUGUGCGAAGAGGUUGAACUCGAGACGCUUGUGCAUAUGGAGGCUAAGCCACAUAUUGAUGAACCACCAGGGCCCCCUAAGUUGCCGAUGGAUUGGCCGAGUAGGAGUUUUCUGGCUACUUGAUGGAGGAGGUGGUAAACCGAGCCAAGCAGGUAUCGGCUGAGGGGAAAUCGGCCACCAUUAGCUAAUCUCUCUGCUACCGAUAGGUAAACAGAGGUUGGUCCUGUCGAUCGACCGCAGGACACAAAUUUGUCCAACCACAUGUUCAGAAAGGUGGUUUGUUCCUUUAUGUUGACAGGCCCCGUUCUACGGUACUUCUGAAUAUACCCAGACCAGCCGCCGAUAGAGCGGGUUUCUACCUUGGCACUAGGUGUGGUGUCAAAUAUGUGGCUACUAUCGGUAGUGGAUACAUCUAAGCCGGUGAGCAUAAGCACAUCGGCAAGAGUGGGAGAAGCAGGGCCAUGACCGAAGACAAAGGCAUUAAGUGUGUCUAACCAGAAAUAUGAUGCAGCAAUCAGCAGUGAUUCAUUCCUAUGCAUAUCGGCAAGAGAUAGCCUAAUGCAUUGGUCCAAUUUUCGUUCGCCCCACUGAACCUCAUUCGAAUGGCUGACUCUCAAGAACCAAUCCUUCCAUCCCAUGGUAGGACUGGGCCAAGAACAGAAGGUAUCUUUCCACAGAUCUAGAGAAAAAUUCUCGGCUCUAAAGGGGAUUAUGUUUGUUUCUGCGUUGAUCAGAUCGGUGGGAUCUGGGUUCCCUAGCGGACCGAGACAUUGGAGGUGUGGCUGAUCGGUAGGGAUGACAAUUUUAUUGGACAGAUCCUAAUAGUUUUUGCGGUAAAAAGAAGAAGAAAAGAAAAAAGGGAGAGAAGAGUAUUCAGUAAGAUGAACUGCGGAUGAACAGGAAUGCGGUAAAAAUACAAGAGAGAAGUAUGAACUGACCUCAGGAACAACAAAGUUGAUGGCCAUUUCCUCACGAAGAAGGUGAUCGAAGACUUUGAGGUUGGUGGAGAAAAGCCUUCGUUGGAGUUCUUGGAGCUCUCGAACAGCGCCGCCGCCAGAAAAGUAGAGUUGGGGCUGUAGGAUGAUGCGAUGGAGAAGGAGUACCCGAGAAGGAACUAUUUAUAGGACAAAAUGGGCAAGGGAAAAUCUGACUUAUCUCUUCACCGUAUCCGUGAAAUUCGAGGGUGCUCAGGUAGAUAUGGUAACUGUUCGCACGGUAAUCAAGGGAUUGUGUAGGUGAUUUAACAGGAAGCGGUGAUGAUCUGGAGAUAUUUCACUGUGCGGGAUUUCCUGGUCGGUCCAUCAGCAGCUUCCACCAACGGUAAUAUUGCCGAUGGGCGAAUAAAGUGGAGAUGUCCCGUUUGGGAGGUUAAGGAAUUCGAGGAAUCUGCGGAAGGAUCGGGCCAGGGUUGCUAGAUUUCAACGGUCGGUUACCAAAUUGGGAGGAUUAAUUGCAGAAAGGCGUCAUUAAAGCAGAGAAUUUCGGAGCAUUAAGAAUUUUAUACUCUGAAACUGGGGGGCAUGUGUUGACACCGUUUUUGGACAUGUAUCUAGGAUCGGUAGGGUGUAGAUCGGCAAGAUAAAGCAACGGUAACUAGUCUGCAGGGGAGUUACCGAUGAGGAAGAUUGCCGAUGAAGGGACGAUUGAGUAUGGCUAAGUCAGGGAGUGGUGGCGCGUUCCUAACCGAUGGUCAGCAUCAAUGUUUGCCGAUGGCGAUAGCAGGAAGAUUGCCGAUGGCCCCGCGGAGUUGUCGAUUGACCCAUGGCGGUGUCUUGGUCGAUCACGAGGGAAUAGUUUUGUGUUUUCCAUUGUUGUUUAGAUCGUUUUGUAUACGGAUUCUAUUUAAUGUGGAAUUCGAGUCCUAGUCGUGUUGAUUAUAGCUCUUUGAGCAAGGUAUAAAUGUAGGCCCUGGGGCCUUGUAGAAUAAUCAAUCAAUCAAACACAAGUUUCUACUCAUAUUCCAGCAUCUACUUUUCGAUGACUUCGUCAUAUUUUUUCUUUUUCAUUACAAGUUCUUAGGAGUUCGUCGACUUAAGCUCGGCGUAUUCUCGAGUUCCGUGUGAAUACCUCUUGGCCGUGGCAUCCGGGCGCAUCGCUGUUGUCGGGACCAAAGUAUUCGAGUUAUCACCUUUGCCGAUAGUAAGGUCAAAUCGGCUGGCACGCCUUAACGUUUGAACCGGGUAUUAGCCCUUUGUGUUUGCAGAUCCAGCUUUUGCAUCAACAAGAAAGACCCAGGUAUGCCAAGCAUCCAAUGCUCCAUUAAUGGAUACAACUUCUAGAAGACGCUUUGCAACACCGGGUCAGACGUCAAUAUAAUGGUCGCAGUCACCUAUCAGCUCCUGUUCGGAACCAUGCCCCUAAAACCGACAUACAUUCAGCUCAAGAUGGCAGAUUAGACAUCUCGAAAGAUUGAAGGUAUAGUAACUGAUGUCCCUGUCAAAAUAGACGAUCAUUUUGUCCGUACAGAUUUUCAAGUUAUUGACGUGGGAGAAGACGAGUACGAUCUACCCAUCAUCCUUGGGAGACUGUUCCUCAGCACCGUUAAAGCAAUCAUCUACAUAGGAACCGGAGAAGUCCACAUGCACUUCCCCUCUGAGAAGGUCAGGACAAGAAGAAGACGACGCAACCGCAAUCAGAGAAGGCAAAUCAUCAAAGACGGAUGGGCAGACUACGAAGGAGAAGUGGUAAUGUCUAAAGACAUACAGCUUGAACAGAACUGUCCUGAGGAGACCGUAGCACCAAGUCAGGUGUGGAGAGAAAAGAUAGUUAUACACAAAGAGGAGGCGCUGCCGGAACCACCGACUAUGCCAUCCAGCGAAUCCCAGGACGACUGAGAAAACGGAGAGUCCCGUUCAGGAGAAUUUAAAAACACCGAACGCCUUGCUAAGAGGUAAACUUGGUAGUUAUCCUUUUCCUUUCAAUUAUUUAAAAUAGUUUGCUUAGUUAAUCAGGUUCAUAUCAUCUUGAAAAGAAAAUAAAAAUGUUAAAAAUAGUAAGCCCCAUGCGAGUUUGCUCGUGGCAUAAAACCCAUAAGUACAUUCACUGUGGUGGCGUAAAAAUAAAAUAAAUAUAUUCCUGUCCUAUAAAUAUGAAAAUAUAAAAAUAAAUUUAUGAUCCUACCAAAGAGAGUAAUAUUUAUUAGAGGAGGCUCAACAUGAUGAAGGCUAGAUAUUUAUGCUAACACUUAACCAGUUCCACAAAGCUUUGUUGUCUAUUUGAGCUCCACAGAAUUCAAGGAUCAAAGAAGACUAGCAGACGGAGGACAUCCUAAUCGCUGUCAGGGCGCUACCGACAUUCAAAUACACCUCCAUCACCUGCUAGCUACAUCAGAAGAAAUUACGUCAAAAUCUAGCAUGGGGAGAGCACCCCCAUUUAUCCAGCUAAGUGUUUCUAUUCGCGUUUAUACUUUACUCAAAUAAUAAAAAGAUGCAUAAUCAUAAAAACCCAAAUAAAGAUUUUGUGCUUAUAUAUAUAUAUAUCUUCGCUUAGUUUGCUAAAUAAAUAAAUAAAUAAAGUUUGCUAUGAACCCUCAUGAUAAUCUCUCACAUGGAAAUGAUGAAUAGUUGCUCUGCCAUGACUAGUUCUCAAAAUUGAAAUCUCUCAAGUUUAGGCAUGACUGUUAUUAAUUAAGAUUUGCUCUAAACCUGAACUUGUGGGAAGAGUACUUGAUCUAAAGUCUAAGUCAUUAACGGAUACGAUAUGAGAAGGUUGAGCUGUUGUUUAUCUGUUCCUAGAGAUGCUACAAUUCUGGAGAAUUUUAUCUUUGAAAAUCUUUAAAAUAUCACAUGAAGAGUUACUGUAUGAUGAGACUUUAAAUUCCUACCACAGCCAUAUAUACAUGCUUAUUAGACGAUGAACCAUACCUGUACUUUUUACUGUUUAUGAGCAUUAAGUGUGGUCAAGCUGUGUAGACCCUUAGGAGCUUGUCAUGUGGUUAAAUCAAGAUUCACUUGCACGUUCACUCACACAUGCUGCUUCUACUCCGGAAGUACGCAUCCACAUACAUCCACUCAUUUCCAUAUCCAGAUUCACCCUAAAUUAUUCUACUCCUAUCUGGGAGAGAAUAGCAAAAAACAUUCUCCUAUUUCUGUUUUUCCCUGAGAAAUAAAUGCUCGAGUUAUCUUAGUUACUACCACUUGCUAUAUUAUUUUAGGAGAUGAGUGCUCUAACAAAAGAGAAAUACGAGGAAAUAAAAAGGGGCAAGUGCCCGGAACCUCGAAAGAAAAGAAAAAGUUAGACGAGAGGUAAAAAUGGACAAGUGUCCGACAGUAGAAUUAGGGGUACAAGAUACCCACCUGAGAGAAAAGAAAAAGAAAAUAUAGAGCAUAUCAUUCUCCUCAAAAAGUUUCAAAAGAGCAAGAAAGGUAUGUAUCCCCUCAAAAGAGCACAAGUAGAAUUAGACUUUCACCAUUGUUAUCACCAUCAUCACCAUACACCAUUCAUUCGCCACACAUGCACAUCUUUAUUUGACUUAUUGACUUGUUCUUCUGGAUCCAUGGUUUGACUAUGCAAUAAAUGUCUUGUAAGUAUGUAUUAGCUGUCUCGCACCUAUGAGCUCCAGAUAUCAAAACCUUAUUAGAGUAGGGUGAGAGAGAAGGCAAUGCUACUAUGCCUCAUACCAAAAAUACCACAUACUUUGAGAGAAAGUAUACACCAUUACUGCCUUGGUAAGGAUCCAGAAAUACCACAAAAGAGAGACUAGAGAGAGUCAUACAAGGAAUCUCUGAGUUUUAUUUGAAAAUCUACAAAAACUCCAGAGCUAUAGUUAAUCGAAGAACAAGAGACAUGGCGCUUGACUAGACCGUUCUAUCUUUUAACUGCUCAAGACACAGGUGACGGUUGCAAGCCCCAUGGUGGAAGGUAAAAUGAGUAAAUUUAAAUCUUAAAAGUUUACCCUAACCCAGAGAUGAGAUCUUGUUUGAACGCAUGUGUACCUUUAAGGUAUAAAAUCACUGCAGAAACUCUUGAGUUCAUCUUUGCUCAAGGACGAGCAAAGGUUAAGCUUGGUCGAGCUUGUUGACGGUCCUUAAUGCUCACAUUUAACUGUCAACUAAACAUGGAAAAGGAUCCAAAUGCAACUGACACCCAUACUUAGGGUUUUAUCUGACAGAAUUCCAUGAGUUUUGGUGUUUCUCUAUUUCUGCAGGGGGUUAUCUGGAAAUACGGAGCAAAGGCCCACACGUCGGGUUUACAUAGUGAUAUUAAUGUGUCGUGCAAUUUUCUAUCAUCUAGAAGACUCCAGAAGCCACAGGAACGAACGGGAAGCCGAGAGGGCUCAGGGACAGGGCGCACGCCCUACUCCCUAGGGCGCCCGCCCAGCUUCAGUGUCCAAUUCGGACUCGUUUCGUGAAUCACGCUCCACCGACCUAAAGGAUCAAGGAAAACUGUGCGAUUAAUGCCGGUUUGAUCCGACAGCCCAGAUUUAUCUGAAAAGACUAUAUAAGCAAGGCCCUCUGGCCCUUGGAGAUCAUACCUCUUCUACAGAAUCAAAGUUAGGGUUUCAAUUCUUCAUCCAAGUAGAGAGGAUCCCUCUAGUUCCUCUAGUUCUAGUUCUAGUUAGUUCUAGUUGUAAUCUAGAAAAUAGGGAGAGAGAAGAGGAGAGCGGAGGAGGAGCCGGAUGAUCUUCCUCAACAUUAUACUUUUGCAGCAACUGGUUCGUUCUUCAUCGUUCUCUAAGUUCUUCAAUUCUUAAUUCCUGAGUUCUUUAAUUACUUUUAUUUACAUUCAAGUUAUUUAUUGGAUUCCCGCUUGCAUCAGGUGCUCUAGUCUUUAUAACGCUAGAGUAGUAAUUAAUAGAUUAGACGUGGUGUUUAGUCUUGCAAUUACCUGAAAUUGCACCCAAUCCUGCGGAUUGUUGUGGUAGCCCUAGGGUAGUGACAGCCCUACCGGUCGACGUAUUCCACCUCGUUCGGCUUCGGUGUUUGUAGGACCAUAGUCAGAGCUUCCUAGCCCCCUUCUCAUCUCUUUCUGUGGUUAGUGUUCUAAUGUCCCGAAAUAAAUAAUCUUUGAAGUAAUUCUUGAUUCUUAGAUCAAUUAGAGAACUCUCAGGAAACUUCCUCUCUUCCCACCAAAAAUAAUUAUAUAGUUAUCCUUGGGCGAUCUUGAAUCUUAAUUAGUACACUCACGUUCCCUGUGGAAAAUCGAUGCUCUGGAAUACUCCCGGGUGAAAGCUACAUCGGUAUCUGUACGAUUGCGGAUUUUUCUGUUUGCGUUUAAAAUACCCAACAACCUUCUCUCUCAUCCUACUCUAAUAAGGCUUUGAUAUCUAGAGCUCAUAGGUGGAAGAUAAUGUAUACAUACUUACAAGACAUUUAUUCCAUAGUCAAACCAUGGAUCCAGAGAAACAAGUCAAUAAGUCAAAUCAAGAUGUGCAUGUGUGGCGAAUGAAUGGUGUAUGGUGAUGAUGGUGAUAACAAUGGUGAAAGUCGAAUUCAACUUUUCCUCUUUUGAGGGGAUACAUACCUUCCUUGCACUUUGAAGCUUUUUGAGGAGAAUGAGAUGCUCUAUAUAUAUAUAUAUAUAUAUAUAUAUAUAUAUAUAUAUAUAUAUAUAUAUAUANNNNNNNNNNNNNNNNNNNNNNNNNNNNNNNNNNNNNNNNNNNNNNNNNNNNNNNNNNNNNNNNNNNNNNNNNNNNNNNNNNNNNNNNNNNNNNNNNNNNAUAUAUAUUUUUCUCUUUAUAGAGGGGACACACACUCUCUACACAUUGAUAUUUUUUUAGAAGAAUAUGAGUCUCUAUAUAUAUAUAUAUAUAUAUAUAUAUAUAUAUAUAUAUAUAUAUAUAUAUAUAUAUAUAUAUAUAUAUAUAUAUAUAUAUAUAUAUAUAUUCUCUCAUGUGGGUAUCUUGUACCCCCUAAUUCUAAUGUCGGACACUUGUCCAUUUUUACCUCUCGUCUCACUUUUUCUUUUCUUCGAGGUUCCGGGCACUUGCCCCUUUUUAUUUCCUCGUAUUCUUUUUU